RNAcentral lists this long non-coding RNA (47115 nucleotides) under Citrus maxima (pomelo). RNAcentral's name for it is "long non-coding RNA (CMAX_LNC000254)". Lineage: Eukaryota; Viridiplantae; Streptophyta; Magnoliopsida; Sapindales; Rutaceae. The record is from RNAcentral.
UAAACCAAACAAUUCAAUCAAAAAGAGUGCUUGAGCUUAACUUUUUUAUAAGAUAGAGAAUUUAAAGUGUUGGGAUAAACAUCAACUUAAACUUAAUGACUGAGUUACUUACCUUGCCCAGAAGGGUUUCAUUUGUGUGAGGUCCGUAAACAUCGGAAGUGUCGAGAAAAGUGAUGCCAUUGUCAAUGGCAUGGUGGAUCAAGGCGAUCAUGUCGGAUUCGGGCUUCCGGGGCCCGUAGAAGGCGGACAUGCCCAUGCAUCCUAAGCCUUGUGCUGAAACCUCUAGACCUUGCGAACCAAGCUUGAUCCUCUUCACUGCCCCUGCCAUUUCUCUUCUAUUAUUCUUUUAACUUUCUAUUGAGUGAGGUUGCUGUUCUUAAGCGAACAAUUUAUAUUUAUAGUUCUUUUUUUCCAACUCUGCGGGCCUCUCAAAACUCGUAAUGCUAAGGUAAUGGAAUAUGUUGGCAUUUACCUCAUUAACUUUACAAAAUCACACAACAGAGUUGUUAAAUAAAUAGUCGAUACGUCAUAAUAAUAUUUAUUAAUUAUACGAGUAACAUGAUACUCCAAAAAAUAUUCAAAAAUUUUUCCAAGGGAACGAUAGAAAGUUGGCCCAAACUGGCGGCUAAGCGCUGGUCAAACAAGUUAGGAACAUUAUUGCCUUUGAGCGGGCCCCACAAACUCGUAAUAUUAACGUAAUGGAAUAUGUUAGCAUGUAAUUUUUUAAAGAGAAAGAAAGUAAAAUUCCCUCAUUUUCUCUUGUCUUUUUCUCUCGUUUUUCUCUCUCUUAAACAUUGUUCAGACUAAAAAGUCACAAAAGCAAUAAAGACGAGAGUCUUUAGAGAUUUCAGUCCUCUUCCACAUAAUGUCGGGAUUGAUUUUUUUUUUCCCCCCAAGAUAAUGUGAAAAAUUCAAUCCGCUAUGAGACUCAUGUAGAUUUUAAAUUGUGAUUAUAUUGUCAAUAAUGAUGGUCAAAUAUUUAUUUUUUUUAUAUGUAAAUCUUUUUAAAAAAAAAUAAGGAUUGGGUAAAUUUUAAAUUAAUUAUUAAUGUUUUUUAAAAUUCAAAUUUAGUGACUAAUCAAAUAAAAUUAUUUAAAAAUUAUCUAGAUCUUACGGACCCAAUCAAGUGGCUAUAUGGGAUAAAUACAAUUAAAGAGAACUUAUAAUUACUUUUAUAAACAACCAAAAAUAUAUUGAGACCACACUACCACGUAAAAGACUUUUAACGGCCUUUGAAAUAUGCCGUUAUAUGGUUAAGAUGCUGAUGGCAUAAAUUAGCACGCCGUUGAUUCAUAAGUCGGAGAAAGUCAUAUACUUUUAACAACAUUUAUACCUUCCGUUACACUAAACUUUACUACUACUUUGGAAAUGUAGUGUGAAACUGAUCUUCUUCUUCUUCUUUUUUUCUCGUGAAGCGAUAUAUUCUCAAUUAAUUAUUUUUUCCUUACCUUCACAUAUACAUAAUUAUAAAGUACAUACGUUUACAUGACACAUAAUCUCAUUCAUCAUCAAUUAGUUUUACAAAAAAAAAAAAAAAAAGAAUUACACAAUGAAUUCUGAAUAAACAAUUUCGCAAUGCUUUUUAUUUUAACUUGUAUGAGUCAAUACAGGAAAAAAGAUACUGAUAAAGUUAUAUUACAUUUGAUAAAAUAAUAUUUACAAAGACUUGAAGUUCAUUAUCCUAGAAAUAUAUAUUACUGUUUAAUGACAGUUCACCAUCCCAGACUUGGAGUUCCUUUUCCUCUAAAAAUGAUUAAUUCUUUUCUUUUCAAAGACCAGCAAUAACAUUAAAUAAAACCUUUACAUACUAAAAAAUAUAAUUAGACUAAUACAUGAUAAUAAUAUUACCUUCAACUGAAAAUUUUUGUAAAAACUAGUACCUAUUCUAUAAGUACAUAUUGUAAAAUUGUACCUUUUUCGAGAUUUCAUUUCAUCCAUUAAUUCGCAGUGGGUACUUGACGACACCAGUCCCUCAAUUAUUCUUUUUUUUUUUUAUUGUUCUUUAGCCACAUAUGUACUAUAUGAUAAUAGAAAACAGAAAAAAUUGUAAAACUAAAAUGCUGAAAAAACCAAUUAGACAUAAUAUUCUUAAUGGUAAAACAAUAAAAAUACAAGGUUUAACAAAAAAUAAAAUAAAAAAAUUAAAUUGAUUGAUUUACCUUCUGCGCUCUUCGUCAAAGUAGACUAAAAACAAAUUAACUACCUAUUGUGGCUCUCAAAUUAAAGGAUUUUGGAGGAUAGGUGCCAUGAGGAUUUGAUAAAUAAGUUUAAAGCAAAUUGAUGAUUGAUAAAACAAAAAUAUGUUAUUGAUUGAAGUAGAAAGCAUAUUAGGGUAGAGAGAAAGAAGCCCGAGUCUGACAAAAGGAAACCAUGAGAAUUGAAAAGGGAAGAUGAGAUUUUUUAGGCAUGGGUGAAAUAGAAAAAGUAAGGAAUUUCCCAUUGUUACAGAUUAACCUGCAAAGAGAGAGAUCUCAUCUAAUUGGGGGUAAACACAUAAAAUUAUUUAAUUUCCUAGCUUUUAGGAUUUUGAUUUAAUGGCAUAUGAAACAUGCCAUAUAAAAUGUAAUAUUAAUGGCAUGUAAAUUAUGCUUUCAAAAGUAUCACAGCAAUUCAAAAUUUACGCCAUUAUUUAACAAUAAAAUAAAGUUAUCUAUGACAUGUUUUUACCAUAUGCCAUGUUAUUAUCUCUUAUCCUGAUGAUAUUUUACAAUGCCUUUGACCAUUUACAACAGUAAAUAAUUAUAUUGUGCAGUAGAUAUCGUGCCAUAGAAAGCCAAUUUUGUUGUAGUGCCAACUUAAAAGUCUUAUAAUGGAAAAAAGUGAAAUUCAAAACUAGCAUCCUCUAAACUAUCGGGAACACCUGUCACAGUUGUUGAUCUAUAAGCCCCUCUUAAAAACAUACAAUAUUCUCUCAUGACGUGGCUGGCACAAAAGCCAAAUCAAGGGCUGCGCCGGCUUUACCUGCACCACAAGCAAAGGCCCACGAUUUUGCAUCACUCUUUACAGCAUCUAAUAUAGGGAGCUGGCUACGGUACAUUGUCUGUUACGUACACACCCAAUGGUGGAAGGACACACAUGCACAGGAGAGAGAAAUUGCUUACCAAAUGCACCCUUUGUGAAAGCUGGCUAAGGUGCAGCUGUUAGGUACACCGUCUGUACCUUAGCCAUCUCCCUAAUAUAGAUGUAACCUGGACAUUUAAAUUAGGAAUUUAGUUUAAAAAAAUUAAUUAAAUUUGGGGUACUUAUUUUUUCUAAUGUUUAUAAUGAGGUCUAAUAUUUAAAAUAAAUAAUUCAUUGCCAUUAUUUUUAAAAUUUAAGAAAAAAUAAUAGAAUUUGAGUUUUUAAAAAUUAAAUAUCUAAAGAAACAAAAUUUUAUGGCUAUUGGGAUUUUAACCGAGCCUCCAAAACCAUUAAAAAGCGGGUCCAGCUAUGUUACCCACGGUGUUUAGUACCCAAUUUUUUUGUCUUUUUCAAAUUCACCGUUAGAUUUCACCCAGGAGUUGUAUAACGGCUUAGAUGUAUUUAUGGGGUUAUUAACAUUAAAUACCACUGUUGUUUAUGAAAAAUAAUAAAAUUCAAAAGUUUUACAAUUUUGACAUGUAAGUCCAUAAUAUUUUGAAUUUUUUUAGACUAUUGAAAUAGGUUUCAUUAAAUGACUUAUUCAUACAUUUAUUAAUACAUAUUUAUAUUAGUAAUUAAUUUAUCAAUUAAUAAAUAAAUAAAUUAAAUAUAUAGCUAAACAUUGUAUAUUAUUUACUACCCAUAAUUGACGAUAAAUAUAUAUGAUUUUUUUUUUUUAAAUUUAACAUAAUGGCAACCAAUUUCCUUUCACCCAUGUGAGUAGGGUUAAGACAUUAUAACUUUUUUUUUUCUCUAACACAAGAGAUUUUACUAUUUCAAAUUAGAUGAAAUGGAGAAAAUAUGAAAAUGAAUUUAAUUUCAUAUUAUAUAUAAUUAAUGUUUUAUUAUUUCCUUGUAACAUAAAAUUUAUUUAACAUACUAUCAAUUAUUCGAUUAUGUAGAAAAAAUAUAUUAAUUUACUAAUAAAUAAAUAAUAAAGUGUUAGUUUAUCAAUUCAUAAAAUCAUUUUUGUUCAUUUGAAUAAGGAUUUUGUAUUUUUGAUUGAGUUUUUGUCAUUAAAUAAAAAGAAAAAAUUUAAUUGCACACUUAAAUAAAUUGACUUUUGUUAUUCCACCCCAACAUUUUAAAUAGUUAUCAGCACACAUCCAUACGGUUAUGAUAUUUCAUUACCUUAAUUAAAGAAGGUAAAAAAAAAAUCUAAACAAUACUCCCUUUUAAAAUAAUUUGAAUAUUUCUUUGUUAAUUUUUUUGUAGUUAAAAAUAAGAGUAACAAUUUUAUUUUAUUAUUUUGUUUCCAUAUUGAAAAUAAUUUUAAUUACCUUUUAAUAUUAAUCAUUUUAGGAAAUUAAAUAAAAAAUAAGAAUUUUUUAUGUAAAACAAUUAAUUAGUUUUUCAUAUUAUAAAAUGUAUAGUGAUUUAUAAUAAAAAUUAAAUAUCCAUGUUUACCCAUGGAUGUUUAUAUUUAUAUUGGAUAAUUAUGUAUUUACAUAUGGAUGGCUAAUAACUAUAGCUAUCUGGAUUUUGUCAUCCCUAAUUGACAAGGAUAUGACCAAUUAAAUAAUUCUACCAAACUAUAUAUAUAAUUGUCGGAUUAAUGGCUAAGUGCUGGAAAACACUACCAUGGCCGUGACCAAUUUUUUAUUUUUUAGUUUGGUAGUGAAAUGGAUUUCUUCCCCACUCCCCCCCCCCCCCCCCCCACCCCCCUCCUCAAUUCUAGCAAACUAAGCAUUCUCUUCUCAACAUAUAUUGCAAUAUAAAAAAAAAAAUUCAAAUUGACAAGUCUAUGAUGUCGGAGUACUCUGUUCAUGUCUGUAUCUUCAAAAGGUGCUUCUAAAAUAGAUUGUGGCUUCCAGAAGCAUUAUUGUAACUGAAAAUUUUUAGGUGCAUGACUAAUGUGUGAAAAUAUAAAAGUCUUUAACUUUUCGGUUUUUUUAACAAAUAAAUGGACUCUACUAUAAUUGAACUAGAAAAGGACAAAAAAGUGGGGUACGAAACCCAUGUGGCAACGUAGUUUUGGCCUUAAAAAGCACAUUUACUAAAUUUUAAGUAUUUUGUUACAUAAAAAAUAUGUCCAAAUUCUUUUUUUUUUUUUUUAAAGGGACUUAAGAUACAUUUAAAAGAAAAAUAUGAGCCCAAAAGGGGUUGAAGCUCCUCCUGUCCCUUAACUAGAUGUGCAUCACUCGUUUUCGAAAAUUUUGAUUUGAAAAAAAAAAAUACUUUUUUUAGCAAAGUUUAAUACAUUUUAUUAUCUCUUUCGAACUAUUUGGCUAUGGCAACUAAUGAGGAAAAAUUUGUCUUCUAAAAUUCUAUUAUCUUAGAACCAAGGUUUAAGGUCAUGUUUGGUAUCGAAGUGCUAUAACUUUUGAUCUACAGCUCCUAUAAAAAAAUUAUAAUUAUAAAUUUAAGUUAAUAAUAUAUAAUAAAUGUAAUUUUUAAAUAAUAAUUUUGAUAAAAUUUGUAAAGAUAUAAUAGAUUUUUCAUCAUGCAAGUGUAAAAUGAAAUGGACUUAGGUGGCGUUUGUUUUUUAACUUAAUGACUUAAAGUGACUUAACUUAAUUAAUUAAGUUAAUUAGAGGUGUUUGUUUUUAUAACUUAAUGAGACUUUUUAGAUAAUUUUGACUUAAUAAAAUAAGCUAAUUUUUUUGGCUUUUUACUUAAUGGAGAAAUCUGAAUUAAGUCAAUUACUUGCUAAUGUCAAAAAUAUCCCUGUUUUAUAAUUUAUUUUUCAUGUCUAUCCCAAAACUCACCCAUAUAUAUUUACCCCACAUAAAAAUAUCUCUGUUUUUUCUUUCUUAUAUUAUAUACGAUAAAAUUUGAAAUUUAUGGUAUUUUAUAUAUUAAAAAAUCAAAAUAAUUAUGUAUUCACUUGAAUAUAGUUUUACUUAUAAAUGUUAAAAUAUUGUGGUAUUUAAUAUAUUAUUUAUUUGACAUUCAAAUUUAAUAAGGAUACAAAUGUAAAAGUACAUAUUUUUAGCUUUUUAAGUUGAAAAAAACAAACAACUUAAUACUUAUUUUUCAAGAUUCAGACGAAAAAACAAACAUAUUAUUCAGAUUCAGACAUUCAGACCUAUUCAGAAUUCAGACUAAUUCAGAUCUAUUCAGAUUUCAGACAAAAAAACAAACGCCACCUUAGGUGGGGUUUGUUUUUUAACUUAAUGACUUAAAGUGACUUAACUUAAUUAAUUAAGUUAAUUAGAAGUGUUUGUUUUUAUAACUUAAUGAGACUUUUUAGAUAAUUUUGACUUAAUAAAAUAAGCUAAUUUUUUUGGUUUUUUACUUAAUGGAGAAAUCUGAAUUAAGUCAAUUACUUGCUAAUGUCAAAAAUAUCCUUGUUUUAUAAUUUAUUUUUCAUGUCUAUCCCAAAACUCACCUAUAGAUAUUUACCCCAUAUAAAAAUAUCCAUGUUUUUUCUUUCUUAUAUUAUAUAUGAUAAAAUUUGAAAUUUAUGGUAUUUUAUAUAUUAAAAUUCCAAAAUAAUUAUGUAUUCACUUGAAUAGAGUUUUACUUAUAAAUGUUAAAAUAUUGUGGUAUUUAAUAUAUUAUUUAUUUGACAUUCAAAUUUAAUAAGGAUACAAAUGUAAAAGUACAUAUUUUCAACUUUUUAAGUUGAAAAAAAAAAACAACUUAAUACUUAUUUUUCGAGAUUCAGACGAAAAAAUAAACAUAUUAUUCAGAUUCAGACAUUCAGACAUAUUCAGAAUUCAGACUAAUUCAGGUCUAUUCAGAUUUCAGAUAAAAAAACAAACGUCACCUUAGUUUUCAAGUUAUAGUAGUUAGUGUUUACCAAACACUUUAGCACUAUAACUUUUAAGUUACACAUGUCCAACUUUAAUCACAAAUAGGAUAUAAGUAUGGAAAUUGCUUGGUGAAUCAUCUUUAUAAGUAUUUGAGUGAGACAUUCUGGAGAUUGAUUUUUUUUCUAAAUAUUUGAAUAUUAAUCUAAUUUGCAAUAGACUUUUGGUUGUGAUUAUAUUGUCAAAGGGUGGGUAAAAUCUAAAUUAAUUUUUUAUCUUCCAAUCUUUGUAUCAAACUCUAAUGAUCAGUCAAAUAAAAUUACUUAAAAACUACCUCAAUCCUUAGGGUGGGCAAUCAAAUGGUUACAUGUAAUGCCCAAGAUUGUAGAGAACUUAUGAUAACUUUUGUAAACAACCAAACUAUAUUAAGACUAACUUGAAAAUCUAUUACACCCUAGUAAAUACUCUAGAAAUCUACUUCAUAUUGUCGAGAAAAUGAAUAAAAAAUGUCAUGGAAUUCAAACUAGUGCCCUCAAUAUUAUUGUGACCAUUGAUUUAUUAGUCCACUGGCUAUUAUUAUUAUUAUUAAAUGGUGCAUUUGAUAUUAUUUUUGUUUUUCCAUUUCUCGUUUUCCAAAAUUUUGUUUGGGACACUUAUUUUUAAAUAGUAUUUAAUUUCAUAUAAGAACGAUUUGGUCUCAUUCUUUAACUUUAGAGAAGAAAAUUGGAGAACAAGGCAUUCAUGAUUUUCAUUCUUCAAAUAGGUCGUACAAAUACCACUUGGAAAAAAAUAAAAAUAAAAAUCGUGCCCCUUAUCAUGUGGGCACAUUACCAAUAUUUAUUUGAUAAUGCAAUUCUAAUUACCUGUUUAAUACUUUUUAAUUAAUGUUUCUUUUUUCUACAAUAGUAAUUGUAUUAUUUUAAUAAUUUUAAAGGUUCUCUAUAAGUAAGAUUUAUUUAUUUUUAUUUUUCAUUCUAAUAUUAAUGAUAAUCCCUAAAAAAUUAUUUUAUCUAAUUUUCCUAUAAAUAAAAUUUUAAAUAAUAAAAAAUAAUUGAAAUUUCAAAUAAUAAAAAGAUUAAUUGAAAUAUAUUAUGAUUAAAAAUAUUUUAAUUCAUUUAAAGAUAUAAUAGCAUAUUUUUUUCUCGCUCUCUUUCAUUGUCUUCAUUUUUUCAAACAAAUAAUUCAACAUAUUCUCAAAUUUUCAUUUUAUAAAUACAAUUUUAGAAAGAAUCUAUCAAACAAAUUUUUAUUUUCACUAAAAACUAAUUAUUUAUCAUUUAUCAAAAAAAUUAUAAAAAUUUCAAUUGAAAAACAAUACCACAUGCACCAUAAUUCUCUAAUAAAAAGUACACAAUUUUAUCUCAUUCAAUUUGAUGACGUGGCUGGCACAAAAGCCAAAUCAAAGGCUGCGCGGGCUUCACAUGGGCCUUUGCCUAGGUCCUACCCACCAAAGGCAAAGGCCCACGAUUUUGUAUCACCCUUUAAUCCUUGAGUUGGAUUAUUGACACUCCUCUAAAAUUCUUUUAAAACCCUUUUUUUAAUUAUACUAAACCUAAUGCCAAAAUUACCCUUACUUCUAAAUAAACACAUUUAAUUUGUGAAUCUGUUAAUUUUUUAUUUUUUUUCUCGCUCCUCACAAAAAAAAAAUUUCGGUGGUAAACUUCUUGAUAAAAAUCAAUGAAUCAAAUAAAUUAUCUUUAAGAUUAUGAUGUAAAAAGUUUUAGUACAAACCUAAAAAAAAAGUCAAAUAAUUUUAUCAGAAUGUGUUUUAUUUAUUACUAAUAAAUUGUCUUAUUAAUUGAAGAAAAAUUUAUAGAGAAUUUGAGAAAAAAAAUUACAUGUGUGAGUGUGAUAGCAGAGAAAGUACAAGAGUUUUUUCUUUUUUAAAGAGAGAAAAAAUAAAAGUUUGAAAUGAGAUAAAAUAGAUGUGAGACAUAUUAGAAUAUUUUUCCUAAAAUGUAAUUAUAAUAGAAUAGGGGUUUCAAAAGAAUUAUGGAGGGGUGCCAAUAGUCUAAUUCUUAAUCCUUUUAUAGCACCUGCUGUGGAUGUAAAUGGACUAUGAUUCCCUUUUCACUAUUUUGAUUUUUCAAAAUACAUUUUUUUUGUUAAGUUUAAUACAUUUUAUUAUCUCCUUCAAAAUAUUUAGCUAUGGCAAUUGGUAAGGGAAAAUUGUCUUCUAAACAAUUUAUUACCUGAAGACUAUGGUCAAGUAUUGGAACCUAUCAAUAGUAUUGUGGUGAAUCAUCUUUUAGGGAUUUUGGUCAUCUUAUAAACAUUGUAGAGAUUGAUUUUUUUUUUCCGAAAUAUGUGAAAAUAAAUCCAACGCUAUGAGGUUCUUGUAAACUAUUAAUUUCAAAUCAAUAAAAUAUUAACAAUAAUAGAUUAAGUUCAAUCUACCACAAUCGAGUAUAAAGUUGUACCAUGCAUGUAUCAUAAAUCAAGACUGCUCUCAUACAAUUAUUGGUAAAUUAGGCCUAAAAAAGAUUUUUUUAUCUAAUAAAAUUAUCAGAAGUCAAGAUUGUUUUCUUGAUUAUGUAUACAUGCAUAGGAUUAGAGAAGUACCUUAAUUUUCUACUGAAGAUCUGAAGAAGACUACUUCAAUUUUUUCCACUAGUAUUAUUGGGAUCUGUAGAUUAUGGUUGCAAUUUUCUCUAUUAUCCUCAAUAGUCUCCUCCGCACGUGUGGGCAUAUAGAGAACUCUAAUUUCCAUUUUCUUUUCUUUAUAUUGGCACUUACUAGAGUUAGAGUUUAACUAUAAACUAAGUUAGCAAAAGAUAUCCAUGAACUUCCUAGCUCUAACUUCAUAGUUAAGGCUCAGUCAUAUCAUAACACACCAAAACAGCUAAGUUAACCUUAGGCUACUCUACUAAAAGUCCAAAGUUGCUCUCUAGGGAACCAUGUAACAAAUAAAAGCUUAAUUAAUUAAGACUCCUUUUAAAUAAUAUUAGGCAUGAUCUCAAACCAAUAAUUACCACUUAAUUGACUCUUUAUUUGAUAACCAUAAUUAAAGCUAGCCUAUGAUAAAUUAUGUGCCUUUGUAAUUACAUAUAUAUCCCUAAGUCACUAUUUAUUCUAACUAUCACUUUUAACAUAGGGAAAUUAUCAAAAAUACUGCAACACUUUAAAGGUGUAUCAAUCGUCCAUCCUAAAUUAACAAAAGUUAUCAACCGUUUGAAAGUUAACGGAAUUAUAGCGAAUUGACGAUUUUACCCUAGAAAAUUAUCACUUGUAUACCCUUAAAAUUUCUUAUUAUCACUUAUAUACUCUUAAAUUAUUACUUGUAUUAUAUGAAAAGACCAGAUUACCCUUUGACGUCAUCAUAUUUAAAUGGUGAUUAAUAAUUUGGUGGACGGCAUAUACAUUUUGUCAACUUAUGGUGGACGACUGAUAUAUCCUAAAAGUAUUAUAGUAAAUUUGAUAAUGAAGUAAACUAAGGGUAUACGAUUGAUAAUUUUCCUUUAAUAUAUUUGUAAAUAGAUUAGAAAUAAAUGUUAUUAUUUAAUAAACAAUUUAUUGAAUAAAAUUGACCAUAGAUUUAAAUGAUUAAUAUAGGGAUGACAAAAUGCGACCUUGGGUCGAGCCUUUUAAACCUAGGCCCAAGUCCAUUAGAGGAAAAGUAUAAGGGCUAGGCUUAGCUAGGCUGGGCUUGGACUUUUAUUUAUUUUUUUUUCAAAUUUUUUAAAAUUGUUGUAAACUUGAAAUGAGUUAAUAGUCAGCAAAUUGUUAUAAUCAACAAUAAAUUAAAAAAAUAAAUAGUUUAAAAUAAAAUAAUAAAUAAAGCAAAUGAAAGUUUAGAGAUUUAAUGUUUUAGCACUAGAUUUUCGAAUUCAAACACACUCUUAAUUAAUUAAAACUUAAAAGAAAGUUUAAUAUUAUAAUUUUAGGUUUUUUAAUUCAUUAUUGAUAUAUAAAUUAAGGAUUUAAGCUUUCUUUCUUUAUUUUUUUAAAUUUUAAUUUUAUUAUAAUUUAUAAUUUAUUUUUUCAAAAAAUAGAGGGCUUGCAUCUGGCCCAAACUUUUUUCCCUUAAGCUCUUGCCAAGCCAUUCAUGUGGAGGCCAAGGACAAAACCCAUGGGAAUGGGCCGGGCCAACUCAGGCUUGGGUUGGCCCAACUUUUUUUGCCAUCACUAUGAUCAAAUACCACAAAUAGCUUAGUUAAGUAUUAUUUGUAUAGAUUCCAUCUUGUAAAUACAUAUAUAUCUAUGAUUCAUGAAAUUACAUCUCAAAACUAUCGAUGUUUUGACCGUUUAUAUAAAUCUUACUUCAUGAUAACUCAAAAAACAUAAUACAUGAAUGUGCAGCAAGUGCCUUUAGCCUCUAUUAGGGCUGUAUUGCACACUCAGGAUUAAGGUCGAUCAAGUUUAUUAAAGCUUGUGUAAAUUAUGAUCAGCAAUAUAUGUUAAACCAUAUCAUAAUUCACUACAAUCAUGUUCAUUACAUAUAUAUCUCAUAUACAUAGUAACUUUUUUAUUUGAAGUCUCUACUUUAGUAAUCAAGAUAAAGUUACUUAACGAUAAAAAUACAAAAGAUACAACCUUAUAAAAUAAAAUGUCAUUUCAUUAAUAGAUGUGAAUAAUCUUUUAUUUAUAAAGAAUUUGUGAUUUUUAUCUUCUAUUUUGACAUCAUAUGCUCAAUGCAUGAAUCACAUACAUUAUAAAUAAGGGCUAAUAAUAUAUGCUCAAAGAAAUAUUGAAUAAAUAAAUUCUAAUAAACUCAAAAACUGUUAUUUUAUUGCAUGCUUUUAGGAUACAAAAUAAUAAUAAGUAUAACAGUAAUUAUAUUGUCAAUAAUGAUAGUCAAAUACUUAUAAUUUUUUUUUCUUGUGUUUUUUUUUUAAGGGUAAAGAGUAGUAAACCCAAUUCAGUUUUUUCGCUUCUAAUCUUCCAGGAUUCGAACCUUAAUAGCCCCAAAAAAAAAAAGAAAAAAACCUACAUGGAAAUCAGCUAGGCCCCUGGGGGCGGCCAAUCAAAUGCUUACACGCACUAAGCAAAAUUAAAAAGAACUUAUGAUUACUUUUGUAAACAACCAAAAAUAUAUUGAAACUGUUUAAAAAUCUACUACGUCCUAGUAAAUACUCCAGAAUCUACUCUAUAUUGUUGAGGAAAAUGAUUAAAAAAAACCAUGGAAUUCAAAUUAUUGUGCUUAGUAUUAAUGGAAACACUGCUAUUAUUAUUAGUUCUAGAAUAUAAUUCUCUACUGAAAAAUACAAUGUUAUCUCAUUCAGUAUUGAUGUGGCUUAGUGGCUGGCACAAAAGCAAAAUCAAAGGCUACACCAGCUUCACCAAGGCCUUUGCCCAGGUCCUACGACCACAAAGCAAAGUAGGGAUGGCAAUUAUAUUCGGAUCCGACCCGGAUCCGAAAAAAUUCGGAUCUGCAUAUAAAAAAAAUGUUGAUCUAGAUAUGAAAAUUUGGGAUAUGCACUAAUCCAGAUUCGGAUGCAAGUGCAUUCGAAAAACCGAAUAUCUGGAUUCGGAUAAAUUUUAUUUUCAAUUAAAAAUACAUAUUAAAAAUUAGAUGAAAAAUUAAAAAAUAAAUUUAUUUGUAGAUUUAUGAUGUUGUUGUAUAUUAUUCCCGUUGAAUUAUUAAUUGUUGAUUAUGAUUACAUUUUAUUUGAUAUUAUUAGGUAGAUUAUUGAAUUUUAUUUUAAAUUAAAAUUGAAUUAAAAAUACAUAUUAAAAAUUAAAUUAAAAAUUAAAAAUUAAAUUUUAUUUGUAGAUUUAUGAGAUUAUUGUAUGUUAUUCAUAUUGAAUUAUUAAUUGUUGAAUUAUGAUUGGGUUUUAUUUUAUAUUAUUAGGUAAAUUAUUGAAUUUUUAAAUUAUAUAUUAAAUUAUUGAAUUUUAAUUUUUAUGGAUCCGAAUAUCCGGAAUAUCCACCCUCAUCCAUUGCGGAUAUUACCCGCAUCCGAAUCCGCAUUUUUUUUGCAGAUCCGGAUGCAGAUGUAGAAAUAUAAUUACGGAUCCGGAUGCACCUACAUCCGGAUCCGAAUAUGCAUUUUACCGACCCUAAAGUAAAGGCCCGUAAUAAUUUGUUUAUACUAUGUUGUUAUUAGGUGGUGAAUGGUGAUAUUUUUUAUUUCUUAAAAUACCCUCAGUUUAACUAGAAACUAGGUUUGCUCAUUGUCGCAUGAGCAAGAGAAAAUUCAUAAUUGAGAAAAAAUUAUCAGUUGAUUCAAGAGGAGUUUUUAUGAACAAUAAACUUUUGGCCAAAUAAUCCAAAUCUUAAAAAAAUUUGAUGGAAUGCAAAGUGUAGAUGAGGAGAAAAAAUUCAAUAAAAGACUAAAGAUAAAAAAAAACACAAGUAUUAUAACACCGAAUAAAUUAUAUUGAGUUUGAAGAUGUGAAACAUCAGUAUAAUUUUUUUCAACUUAUCAUAUGUCUAUAAUUGUAAUUUAUGUUAUGGAUAUUUUAGUAAUAAUUAAUUUUAUUAAAAUGUGAGUUUAAUGAGUAACCUAGCGGGUUUAAAUAGCCUCGCUCUUUAAAGGGUGUCAAAAGACUACUCUUUGUAUAAUAUAAUAUACUCCACUAAUGAUGCGUUUACUUCAUGGAAUGCGAAUGAGGUGGAAUAGGAAUGGGCUGGAAUGAGAAUGAGGAAUGUGAAUGAGAUUUCAAUGUUUACUUGGCAAAAAUAAAUGAGAAUGAGAAUGUGCGAGAAUACUAUUGAUGUGUUUACUUGGCAAAAUAAAUGGGAAUGAGGAAUGAGAAUGAGAAUGAGAAUCAAUUUACCAAAAUACCUAUAGUAUUAAUAAUAAUAAUAUUAUUAUUAUUAUUAAAUUUUAUUAACGUUAUUAUUUUAGUUAUUAUUAAUCAUUGUUAAUAUUAUUUUUAUUAAUAUUAUCAUUAUUAACAUUUAUUAUUAUUAUUAAAUUUUAUUAACUUUAUUAUUUUAGUUAUUAUUUAUUACUGUUAAUAUUAUUUUUAUUAAUAUUAUCAUUAUUAACAUUUAUUAUUAUUAUUAUUAAAUUUAUUAUUUUAGUUACUAUUAAUUAUUGUUAUUAUUUUUAUUAAUAUUAUCAUUAUUAACAUUUAUUAUUAUAUUUUUAAUUAAUAUCAUUUUUAUAUCUAGAUAAUGAAAAUUACAUCAUCAUUAUUAUUAUUAUUAUUAAAUUUUAUUAACUUUAUUAUUUUAGUUAUUAUUAAUUAUUGUUAUUUUUAUUUUUAUUAAUAAUAAUAAUAAUAACAACAAUAAUGAUAAUAUUGUUAAUAAUGAUAAAUUAAUUAUUUUUAUCAUUAUUUUUAUUGUUAAUAAUGAUAAUAUUAAUAAAAUAAUAAUAAUAACUAAAAUAAUAAAGUUAAUAAAAUUUAAUAAUAAUAAUAAUAAUAAUUAUUAUUAUUAAUGGCAUUUAAAAUAAUAAAAUUAAUUGUGAUUUGAAUGAGGGUAAUUUGGGAAAUAUGAAAAAAUUAGAGGGAUAGAAAAUUAAACAUAUAUUUCAUUCACAUUCCCUCAUUUUCAUUCCCAACCCUCCAUGGGAAUGAGAUUCUCAUUCCUUAUUCCCAAAUUGUGUGAGAUCCACACAUUUUAUUUCCAUUUCCAAAUAACAUUUUGCCAAGUAAACAUGGGUUUCAUUCUCAUUCCUCAUUCCAUGAAGUAAACACACCAUAAGUAAUAAAAAUUAACCUUGUAGUAUUUUCUGAAUUAUUUUAGUGUUCAAUAUCUCCAAUCAUGAUAUUUUUGAAUGUAAUAUACAAAAUGUUUAUAAUGUGAAAAAGAAGUCAAGGUUUAUGUAUGGAUGUAAAUAGGGUAGCAAAAUGAAUUCGCGAAUCAAAUUUGUGACUAGGUAUAAAUGAAUUAGGUUAAAAGUUGGUAAAUUCAAAUUCAAUUCAUUUAUUAAACGAACUCUAAUCUUGAGUUGAAAUCAAUCUUUUUUAAGGAAUCAUUAACAAAUAUUCAUUGAAUUUUUCGUUUAACAAAAUUAAUAAAUAAAUUGAGUUAAAUUUAGAAUGGUUUAAAUUCAUUCAUCUACGAUUAUAAAUUUGUAAUAUUUUAUAUCAAAUGAUUAUUGAUAACCAUCAAAAGUCAAGCAAAACAAAUUAUCUUGACCAUCCUAAGUCACAAAAUGAUGAUAGAAAUGGAAGGUGUGAAAUGCCUUAAAGGUAAUAGGAAAUGUUAAAAAUACUCGAUCGGAUUGGACUAGGCAAUACGGGCUAGUAAUAUCCGGCCCAUAAAUGAGGCUGGGCUGGGUUUAAAUUUCAGUUUAUAAGCCUGAAAUUUGUCCCGGAACCUAGAUUUAAAAAAAUAUAUAUAAUAUAUAUUAUUUUAAAUAAUUAUAUUUAUUUGACCUAAAAAUUAUAUAUAUUUAAGAUUUUGAAUAGUUAAAGUUCAUAUUUGGAAGCCCAAAUUCAUUACAAUAAAAUUCAAAAAUCAUAAAAUAAAAAAAAUAAAUUAAAAAUAUACAUAUAUAAUAUUAUAAAAUAUAAAAUUCGGAUUUUUUAAGUCCAUAUAAAAAAAUCCGAUUUGGUAUCGAGUUUUUAAGUCCGGCCUGAUUGUUCAAAACACAUGUUUGGGCCAGAUUUGAGCAUUGUCAUACCCGGGACCAGCAUGAGCUUUUUCCAUCCGUAAGCAUAAUUAAUUGGUUGAAAUAAUUUAAUUUUCGGUAAUGUGAUGUGAAAAAUUGUGAAAAAUUUUGGUAAUCUCGUAGAGGCCACUUUGUAACACAGCAAAAUAUUCGAUUGAUCUGAAAUUAUUGAAUAAUUUUCUGUUGAGGAGGGAUGUCAAUUGUAACAAGAUGAAACAUAUAAUGCUAUAAUAAAUUCAGACCGGUGGCGAGGCUACGUGUGGGAUGGGAAAUUUACAAUACAAAGUUUACAAAAUUGCCACUAUUUUAUUUACAAUUGUACCACUUUAUUAAUUUAUAACUUUGUCAUUCAUAUAAAUAAAUAGAAAAAAGGAGCAUUUACUUCAUUCAAGAUUCCAUAACGUGCUUUCUUUCUUAGCUUCUUCAGUUCUUCAUCUCAUGCUUGAUAAGAAUAGAUAAUAAAUUUAUUUCUUAUUAAUAAGAUGGAGAAGGAAUUUCUAUCAAAUUGUAUUGUUAUCUACAUUUAAAGAGAAUUUAUAAACACUAUCAAUUUAAAUUCGAUAAUAGACGAGUUUAAUUCUCAAAAGUAUGGUAAGACACAACUUAAUAAUGUUUAAUUAUAACUAAAUUACUUGUUAGAUAUAAUGUAUUUGCUUAUGUAUUAACAAAAGUGUCUUUAAUAUUUAUAUUUUUAACCGAGAUAAUAUUCGGAUUUGGAAAAAAUUUAGCCCACUCAAGAAAUUUUUCCUGGGUUCACCCCGGAUUCAGAUCAUCUAAACUUCCAAAAAUUUCAGGAAAAUAUUACUCCAUUUUGAUUUAUUUAUUGUUUCUCAUAUAUUUGUAUAAACACAGUACAUUAUUUUGCCGCUCAAAGCAGAAGAGCAGAAGAUACAAUGAUUUAGUUUUGCUCACAACACUACAUAGGAACUCAAUACAAUAUUCACUAAACACUUGUGAAAAGUGCAGAAAGGUACUAAUAGGGUGUCCUAUCAGAAGACACGGUGACUUUAUCUUUACUCACAAUACAGUAAUUUUACCCACAACAAAACCUAGGAACUAAAUGCAAUUGCAAAAUCGGUACUAAGAAGGCAGACUACCAAUGCCCUUUAUGAAGGUUUCCAUGAAGACAGUGGAAUCUUCAUAGGUAGGAGUGACACCCCCAUAUCGAUGACCCCUUACAGCAUCUGCUGAAGCAAUGGAUUUAAGCUCAGCAAUUUCUUCCGGAGUUAGUUUCACUGACAGAGCUUUAAUAUUUUGAUUCAGGUUUUCAAUCUUGGUGGUAUAUUUUGAUUCAGGUUUUCAAUCUUGGUGGUUCCAGGAAUUGGACACACAUCAUCUCCUUGGUGAUGAACCCAUGCUAAUGCAAGCUGAGAUGGGGUGCAUCCUUUCUUUACAGCUAUUUCAUUAACACGUUCAAAUAGCUUUUUGUUAUGCUCUAAAUUUUCAGGUUGGAACCUAGGUAGAAGCUGCAAGAUUUAGAAAACAGCUCAGUACCAAAAGUGAACUGUAAUUGAAUCAUUAAAAAAGAACAUCAUUUUGGAUAAAGCAUGAUUUUAGAGGAGGUUUAAGUAAAAUUCAAUAGACCAGAAAAUAAGGAAAAAGGACUAGUUGAGGGACUUCUCCUAGGCAGAGGAUGUCUAUAGUAAAACAUUUUGGAAUGUUAGAUGUUUUCAACAUAUUUUGGGGUAGGAAAAUCCAAAAUCUAUCUUAAACAAUGAAUUUAUAUUUUUCGGGGAGAUGGGGUACCUCACUGGUUUGUUGUGUGCGGUGCGGUGUAUCUGAAGUUCGGGGGAGGUGAGAAGGGGAGAGAGAGUGGUAACAAUGGUGGAAGGUUAGAAACAAGAGAGGUGUCCUUCAAAAUGAGCUUCACGCCUGCAAAACAGUGAAAUAGAGGUUAGAGGUGAAGCCGGGGUACCCCGGCGUUCACACUCCGACGCUCAAGUUAGCAAACUCAAGCUUUUAUGGCAAAGAGAGCUAGCUAGCCCUCUGUAAAUUAGGGUUUAAGGUUGAAGAAAACCUUUUUUUUGGAGUGUGAGUGUUUUGGGGCGAAUGAGAGCAUGAUGGAGAAUGAAACCUAGGCGCCUUUAUAUAUGGAGUACCUUAGCUGCCACGUGGCGUACCCUUUUUGGCUAACGUCCUUUUACCGCUUUUAUGAUUCUUGGGGCCGUUAUGUGCAUGUUCGCGGCGUAUCUCAUCUUUUGGAAACGUGGCGCGCGCUGGAGAGUGGUCCGGGGUACCUCUGCAGUAGCUGUUGGGUAGGCGGCUAGGGACCACUGUCCUUGGGACAGUGUCCUUCACUUUUGGCAGAGGUAGCAGGCGACUGUCCCCCCUUUUGAUACGACGUUAUUGAUUCAUAAUUCUGACAAAAUCAAAUAAUAUCUUUUAGGAGGCGGAGACGUUUCUCAUGGCGGAUAUUUUCGGAGGUACCUCGAGUUACGUGGGGUACCUCUAAUUGUACGGGGUACCUCUAGUUACGUGGGGUACCCCCUAUUACGCGGGGUACCCCUAUUUGUAUGAGGUACCUCAUAUUAUAUGGGGUACCUCUAUUUGUGUGGGAUACCCCUAAUUGUACAGGGUACCUCUAUUUACACGGUGUUCCUCAAGUCAUGCCGGGCACCUCGGAUUGUGCAGGGUACCCUCCGAUUGUGCUGAAAUCAUUCCAUUGGUUGACACGUGGCGCUCUAUUGCCUUUCCUAUUUUUCCCUCAAACAACAUCCCCUAGUUUCUUUUUGGCGAGAAGUAUUGGAGGCAAAAGAAACUCAUUGUAUGAGUGAUACGUGCCGACGCGGUUGGACCGGAGGGUACCUUGCUUAGCUUCUUUCCUUGACUAAACUUUGUGUACUUCGAACUAAAAAUCUUCUCUUUGUCUUUUCGUUUUCCCGCUUUUUUUUUUUUUUUUUUUUGACGAUGAGAACGAACAGUUGUCUUCAUAUGCCUCUCUCCUUUUUCUUGGGAAGUGGCAGCCGUCUGACACGCAGUUUGAAUUUUGAAAAUACAAAUCUCACUCAAACAUCCCUGAACUCCUUUCUUGGGCAACGUGUUCUGUCAGGUUGAAUUUAAAACUCCUGACGUGUGUCAAAAUUUUGACAAUCCCCAAACGAACUCCAAAAAAUUGAUUAUUUCCAGUAGCCUUUUUCUUCCAUAAUUUCGUCUCCUCUUCGAAAUGCAUCAACAUCAUCACGUUAAAAAUAAGAAUUUCUUUACUUUUUUUUUUUUUUUUUUUUUUUACGCUCGUUCAUCUUCCCUAGGCUCUAUUCUCCCUUUACUCUUUUUCUUUUAUUUCAUUCUUCUUCCGUUUUCUUUCUUUCCCAUUUUCUUUCUCCCUUUUCUUUCUCACGUUUCUCCUUCCUUUUUCUCUCUUUUCCUUCUUCCUUUUCUUUCAUUCUUUUUUCUCUUUCUCUCUCGGCCGGCGUUGAUCUAGUACGUUUUCCGGCGUGGAUCGCGGCUGCUGCAGUGGCGGUUUUGGGCUCCAGAUCUGGUCGGUUCAAGGCGAUUUUCGGCGGCUCACGGCGAGAUCUCAGUCCGGCGAUACACACGGUAACCCCUCCUUCAUCGUUUCUUCAUUUUUCCCUUGGUGCUUUCUCUCUUCCUUCCCUUGUCUUCUCUCUUUUUCUUCUCUUUUUUUUCUUUUCUCUUUUUCGUUUCGGCUUGUGUUUUUCUCUGUGAUUUCCGGCGUCGGUUUGGUGUGGUUGCGGCCGGCGUCGGUUCGGUGGCUGCAGCCGCGGCAGCCGGCUUCGGUUUGGUGGUUUCCGGCGUUAGUUUAGCGGCUGCUGCUUCUCGGUUUUUCUCUUUUUUUUUUUUUUUCGGCCGACGUCCUCCUUUGCAUUUUUCCGGCGUCGGUUCUUCUUGAUGGCGGCAGCUGCGGCGAUCGGCGUCAGUUCGGUGGCUGCGGCGGUCGGCGUCGGUUCUUUUUUUUUUUUUUUUCGGCCGACGUCCUCCUUUGCAUUUUUCCGGCGUCGCUUCUUCUUGAUGGCGGCAGCUGCGGCGAUUGGCGUCGGUUCGGUGGCUGCGGCGGUCGGCGUCGGUUCUUUUUUUUUUUUUUUUUUUCGGCCGACGUCCUCCUUUGCAUUUUUCCGGCGUCGCUUCUUCUUGGUGGCGGCAGCUGCGGCGAUCGGCGUCGGUUCGGUGGCUGCGGCGGUCGGCGUCGGUUCUCGGUGGUUGCAGCCAUUACAGCCGACGCCGGUUACUGCAACUUCUUCGUUCUUCAUUUUAUUUAUUUACUUAUUUAUAAAUAAGUACAUAUAUUUAAGCUUUAUUCUUUAUUUUUAUACUUGCAUAUUUUACCCACUGUUUUUAGUUGCCUGCAGCUUCGUCUCCCCGCGAUUGUCAAUCCUGAUCUGUCGAAUUGGUGAAUCAUAGGUAUCCCUUCUUGUUUCUCCUCUUUUGGCGCAUUCACAGUGGCGCUAUUUUGCUUACUCUAAGAAAAAUUUAUUUUUAUUUUUGUUGUUUUUGUUUUUUUUGUUGGUUGGUGUUUGCAUUUGGUGGUUGAUGUGUGAUGGAUGGUGCUUGGUAUGGAUAUGUUGUUGUUGGGAAAACAUGUGGCUUGUUGGAUGUGUUGUUGGGGGCUUGUGGAUGUGUUGUUGGAUGUAUCGUUGGGUGUAUUGUUGGGGGAAAGUAGAUGGGUAAGAAACACACGGGACCCGUGAUGAAGCGACGUAAAGUUGGGGCUAGUAGGGUUGACAGCCCUCCUGCGGGUUCCCCUUCCCACAUCUCCAUUAGCGAGGGGGAUUGGUCCCCUCCUAGUUCCUCCAAGAGUUGUAAUUCUCGUUCUGAGCCCCCUCCCCCUAGGAGUACUCCUCGUGUCAGCCCACGCUUUCCUAGUAAACGACCUACCCCCAAUCCUCGAAAGAAGGGUAAGUCAACCAAGCCUAAGGUUCCAGCUCGUUCCUCGGACCAGCCGCCUAAAUCUCCCCCUGCCACACCUUCAAAAUCUAGCAACCCUUUUUCCCUAGGCAUUAGGAGGGCUACUUUGGGGGACUUAGAGCAAAUUAGAGCCAAAUACAAUAUUCCUCCGUCUGUCCAGCUCAGGGUACCCCAUGUGGAUGAGAGACCCGAGUGUCCACAGUCUGAUGGGAUUGCUCUCCAUAUCGACCUCUUCGAUCUAGGACUCCGCCUGCCCCUCCAACCAUUCUUUAUGAAAAUGUUUAGUUAUUUGGGGGUAGCUCCUGGGCAGCUGUCUCUUCUAAGGUGGAGGACACUGACGGGCUUACAUGUGUUAUGGUUGGAGGUCGUGAAGCGCGACAUUUCUGUUCGAGAGUUGAGGGGCCUUUACCAAUUCAAGAAACCUAAGGGUCCCGCCAUUGCUUACUUCUCCUCCUAGGGUGAUCAUGGCCACAUCGUUGAGGGGAACCCCGCCUUGAAGAAGGGUUACCGAAAGGGAUGGUUUGUCGCUGAGGGUAGGUGGGGGGCAGAGACUCUAGGUGAGAAGGGCGACCCCGUGGAGGUUCCCCAUUCCUUCAAUGUAGACUGUAAGUAUCUCCCUUACUUAUGGUUCUUUAUCGGAAUCUUUCGCCUGAAUGUCUCGCUAACCUUGAGUUCUUUAUGCUUUCGCAAGUGUGACAUGGGCUAAAGGAUCAUGCCCAGUUCAGGAGGUGGGGAGAGAGGUGAAGAAGUUUGUGGACAGGCUUCGAGGUGCACAAAGGGGUAGUGAUGUGCUAGAUGAGAGCCGAUUGUGGAGAGCGGGGCUGAUUGACCGAAGUCCUCCGCCUGCUCCUGGGGGUGACUCAUGUAUGAUUUGGGUGUCGGGGGGGGUAUCCUAUUAUUACUUAUGGGACUGGGGUACCCCAUUAUCAUUGCAUUCUUCGUUUCGCGUCCCCGCUUUCCAUUUCCUAUUUUUUACUUUUGCAGUACUUAGUACUUGUCCAGCUAACAUAACUUUUGUGCAUUGGGUGCAGUCAUGGAAUCGACGGGUGACGCUUUCGACGCCUUUUUCCAGGCAGUAGUGGGCGGUGCUUCCGGAUCUCAGGAUUCGGCGGUACCCCCGAAAGGCUCCCAACCUCCUCGAGCUCCCGGUCCGAAGGGGAAGUCUCAGGGUACCUCCCACAGCGGGUCGAAGGGUACCCCUCGCUCGAAGAAGAGAAAAUUCGGGCUGGUUUCCGCUUUCCCCGAGGAGUUGCGCGAAGGUGACCUAGACCCGACUUCCAACAAGGAGGUUUCGCACUUGGCUCGCUGUUUCUACUACUCCGCUGAAAAUGUUACCUCCGAGGUUGCUGAGGAGACUGACAAGAUGAGUUUGAGCCAACGCUAUAGUCAAGCACUUAGGGCUACCCAAGAGGUAGGCUUUCCCGGGAUACCCCGGGUGUACCCUUCAAAAAAUUUUUUUUUUUUUACUUGAUCCUAUUGCCACACGUAUAUAUUUAACGUGUCUUUUAUGACCCGCAGGCAUCUUUUCUCCUCAGCCACUGCCUUCCAGACCUUGACUCUCUCGUUGCCGCCCAGUCAGAGGUCGACAAGUUAAGGGGUGAGCUCCAAAGCCGUCAGUCUCGCGAGGAUCAGCUUGCUCCAGAAGUUAAAACUCUGCAAGAACGCAUUGCUGGCCUGUCGGGAGAGAAAGCUAAGGUGGAGAAGGACUGUGAGGAGUUGAGGGCCACCAACGGGGAUCUGCUAUCUCGGCAAAAGACGAUGGCGGAGGAUGCAUUCUCACUCAUCAUGACGGAGGUGUGGAGUGUGGAUCCGGAGUUGGAGGUACCCCGGGUGCAGAAAUUUGUCAACAAGGCUACGAUUCUAAAGACAAUUGCAGAGAGGAAGAAGCCUUCCCAGGCACGGUCGGGUACCCCCUCCGAGUCGCCUCGGGUACCCCAUCAGCUUUAGCCGUUGCCUGCUUCGGAUGCCCCUAGUUCGGCUGCUCAUAUUCCGGGUACAUCGGAGUCCUCUGCUGAUCGCCCUCUGGAGACGGAUGUUGGGGAUGGCGUUCCCCCUUCAGUGUAGCCUUCUCACUGUGCUCUUGUUUUUUUUUUUUUUUUUCGGACCUAUCCACAUUUUGCUAUUUGGACCUUGUUUCUUUCUUUUUGGUUUCUCGAGAUAUUUUGUAUUAUUGGGACUUCUCUUUUGUUAUGAUACCAUGCCAUCGAGUUCUCUUGUACUUUGCAUGCUUGUUAUUCUGCAAAUGAAUGCUUGACUAAACUGUUACCUUGUAAAUGUCUAGGGUACCUCUUUUUUUUUUUUUUUUGAAAUGGGGUACCCCUGGUACCUUAACAAAUAUCCAACAUCAGGCGGAUUCCCUACAAAUGUGGUGCAUGUCCUUCUCGGAAACUAUGGCGGAUUCCCCACAAAUAGGUAAUCAAAAUAUCAUCGCGACAUCUCGAUCAAACGUUGAAAGCGCAAUUGGUCCAACCAAUCACUUUCUUAUUCUUUCGAAGUUUUCUCCGAAUUUUUUGAAUAGCUUACCCCAUACUUUGCAAAAGUACGAGGACGGAGGUGUAGGUGUUCUCAUACCUAAGCCGAACUUCGUGCCGCUAGGGUAUGCCGGUUUUUCUUCACCCUCGGGUCCUCUCUGACCCUCCCUCUCUUUGUUUAGGUAGCUUUAUCAUGCUUCCGCAGAAAGGCUACCCCCGGGCUGUUCCCUCCGUUGCCCAUCUUGGGUUUACAUAUAUCGUCACGAUCUAGGCAUAUCAGGUACCCUGGCUGGUCCUGCGAUAGGUUAGUCAUAAUUGACAAACGUAUGGCGAGAAUUGCAUAUUACCAGAUGCGAGGGUAUAUUAAUGGCGAUAAAUGAAUAUAAUCCGCACUCUAAGAUCGAAGUGGAGAAAAAUAAAUAAAGAACCCACAUCAUAUUUGUUGAGAAAGAACAUGCAUUUAUGGAUAACGAAAGCGUUGAUCAAUACAUGACUUAGCUUUGUUACCCUGAGGAGAAUGGGAGACCGCAAGACCUCCUAUCCCUUUCAUUUGACAAUUAAAGAAACUCUAAAGUUGCAACUGACCAACAUAGGGCAUUUGGGGUACCCUAUUUGGCCUACCACACAAAAACAUUAAAGAAAGCAAAUAACAGCAAAAGACUAAAGGUUGAGACACUGUCCUUUAGUAAUAUUUCCGUAGCAUUACAGCGUUCCAAGGGUGCCUCACAAUUGUGCCAUCCAUGUGGAGUAGCCUGUAUGCACCUGUCCUAACGGGUUUGUCAAUGCGGUAAGGUCCUUCCCAAUUUGCCCCAAAAGUGCCUUCACAGGGUACCCUAGUGUUCUGAGUUACCCUUCUCAAGACCAAGUCUCCUUUCUUGAAUGACCGAGGGCGUACCCUUUUUUCGUAUAGACCCGAAAUGCGAUGCUGAUAUAUGGCUGUCCUCAGUUCUGCUCUAGCUCUUUUUUCAGCCACUAAAUCAAGGUUUGAAGCAACCAAUGAGGUGUUCUCGGCCUCAUCAAAGUAUUCAACCCUGUAAGAGGGUACCCCAAUUUCUGCUGGAAUCACUGCGUCAACACCGAAUGCGAGGGAAAACGGGGUCUCCCUGGUGGAGGUGUUUUGAGUAGUUCGGUACGCCCACAGUACCCCAGGUAGCUCGUCUACCCAUGCUCCCUUUCUUUUUUCUAGCUUCUUCUUCAGGAUACCUUUGAUAAUCUUGUUAACGGUUUCGACUUGCCCAUUAGAUUGGGGUGAGCAGGUGUAGCAAAUCGGUUGGUUAUCCCCAACUCCGAACAAAAGCUUCGAAAUUUUUCAUUAUCGAAUUGCUUACCAUUAUCACUGACAAUUGCAUAGGGGAUUCCAAAUCUGCAAAUGAGGUUCUUCCAAAUGAAUUCGGUGGUUUUCCUUUCUGUGAUGCUUGUUAGUGGCUCUGCUUCCGCCCAUUUUGUAAAAUAAUCUACCGCCACGAUUGCAUGUUUUGCUUGCCCCUUUCCAGUAGGUAACGGUCCAAUGAGAUCCACUCCCCAUAUAGCGAAGGGCCAAGGGGAAGAUAUAACUGUUAGCUUCUCUGGAGGUAGGUGGGGUACCCUGGCGAACCUUUGGCAUUUGUCACAGCUUCGUACCAUAUUCUUGGCAUCUUCCCGCAUAGUUGGCCAGUAGUACCCCUGACGGAGGGCUUUUUGCGCCAAUGAUUGUGCUCCAUAGUGAUUGCCACAAAUCCCCUCAUGUAUCUCCCUCAUGACAUACUCGGCCUCGUCGCUUCCCAAGCAUUUAAGGUAAGGAAGAGUGAAACCUCUUCUGUAUAAGGUAUCCUGGAUCAGGCAAUACCGGGCGACUUUAUAUUUUAAUCUCCUUGCUUCACUUUUAUCUGAGGGGAGGUCUCCGUCCUUGAGGUACCUUAUGAUAGGCUCCAUCCAAAGCACCUCGUUGGACAGCGAUCCUACUUCCAAUGGGGAUUUGGUUGUACCCGGAGAAGGUGACCCCGAAUGCACAUUUUUCAGGGUGAUGAAGGCCGUUUUCUCUUGAUCGGGUUCGUACAUCGGGAUUUGGUUGUACCCGGAGAAGGCGUCCAUAAAACUAAGCAUCUCAUGCCCCGCUGUUGCAUCAACCAGCUGGUCCACCCGGGGAAGCGGGAAGCUAUCCUUGGGGCAGGACUUGUUCAAAUCGGUGAAGUCCACGCACAUACGCCACUUUCCGUUUGAUUUCUUGACAAGAACAAUGUUGGAUACCCAAUCGGGGUACACUACUUCCCGGAUAAAUCUCGCUGCUAAUAGGCGGUCUACCUCUUGUUCAAUUGCAUCGUACCUCUCUUGGUUGAAGGCGCGACGCUUCUGUUUGACUGGUUUAUUAUGUGGGCUGACAUUGAGUUUGUGACAAGAGAGAGAAGGUGGGAUACCCGGCAUAUCCGAGUGGGACCAAGCGAAUACAUCGUGGUGCUCACGUAGGAAGGUGAUGAGUUUCUCUCUUUGUUCCUCCGAGAGGUUGGAGCCUACUUUCACCGUCUUUGUUGGGUCGGUGGCACAAAUCGAGACUGAAAUAAGGUCUUCAACUGGGGUACCCCUUUUUUCAUCUUUCAAUAUUCGGGGAUCCAAAGGUGCCUCAACUUCACAUCUGGGCUCCUCCUGGUCCCUGUGGGGUACCCUCGAGCUAUCCGCCGCAACUGCUUCUACACUCAUUGGUGAGGAUUCCAACUGCUCUCGUGGGUGGGCUACCUGAGGAGAUUUUUUUAGCACUGCUCUCCGCUGUCUAGCAAGUGCUCGCUUUGAGGGGAAAGGUGUGGGCUGGCUGCCACUGGGGUAUCCCUUCAUUGGCGGAUUGGAAGCUAUUUGGUAAGUGACUUUGGAGGUCACGGAAUAACAUCCACGAGCCGAUUGCUGGUCCCCUUUAAUAGUGAUAACUUCUUGGGCGGCUGGGACUUUCAUGGCGAGGUAGUGCAUGGAUACCACCGCUUUAGUUGCUACUAAAAACGGCCUACCCAAUAUAAUAUUGUAGGCACCCGGGUGAUCUACAAUAAGAAAAUCAAUCAUAUGAACGACAUGGUGAGGUACCUUACCAAGUGUAACAGGCAGCGUAAUGAUGCCUUUUGGUAUAACCAUAUCUCCGGCGAACCCAAUGAGAGGCGUAGCAUAGGGGGUGAUCUUUGGCGACUCAAUCAAUAGUUGAUCCAAGGCGCUUUUGAAAAUGAUGUCAACGGAGCUGCCGGUAUCUACGAGAGUUCUUGCUACCUUACCAGUGGCAACCUUCAACGUAAUUACAAAGGCAUCGUCGUGGGGGUACGAGAUGCCCUCCGCAUCUUUUUCUGUAAAAAGGAUAGGCGGGGGAUGGUGGGGUACCUUUGGUGUACCCCAUUGAUUAAGGUUGACUUCUCUGCCCAUAUCGGUGGUUAUCGACAACGAUCUACCAUAGCCUUUGAUAGCCCUCCUAGAUUGGCCCGCCAAGGUCGGUCCGCCCAUGAUCAUCCGAACAUACACGCCUUUCUUAUGUCCAGGGGGUACUUCUCGUUCAGGACUGCCAUCAGCUACCCGCUUGCCCUUAUCCUGCUCCGCGGAUUUCCUCAUGCCAGCAACAAAUUCUUUGAGGUACCCGCUGAGAAUCAAAGAUUCAAUUUCCUCUCGCAAGGUGAAACACUCGGCUGUGCUGUGACCAAAGUCUUCAUGGAACUCGCAAUACUUCAGACUACGCUUCAUGUUGGGGUACUUCUUCAUUGGCUUAGGAGGACGGAGGAGGCCGCUAUCCCGAAUAUGGUAGAAGAUCUGCUCUGGGGAUUGAUUCAGUGGGUGGUAAGAUUCGUACCGAGGCCUCGGUGGUGGCUCUCGCUAAUCCGGUGGUGGCGGUCUUGGAGGUUGGGGUACCCUUAAGGUACCCUGAGGGUUGUACCCCCGUCCUCGCGGGGCAACCCGUGGAGGGCUCCGUGGUUGGGGUACCCUCGGUAUUGGGGCCUCCAUCCUUUUAGGCUUUUCCUUGUUCUUUGUAACAUCGGCCUUAUCUUCUUGGCGCUUCAAUUGACAUUUUUCGUCCAUCUCCACCUGCUGCAACGCCCGGGAACGGGCUUCCCCAUAUGAAAGUGGGCGCUUCUUUUGAAAAGAACGCCAUAAUUUGCCCAGCCUCAAAUUUUUCUCAAAAUGGGUCAAUGUGUAUUGGUUUCCAAAUGCUCCGGUUUGCAGCACCUCUUGGUGGAAACGACUCACAUACUCCGCCAAAGGCUCGGCUUCCCCUUGCUUGAUAAAGGCAAGUUUGAAGGCUACCCUAUCUUGGGUGGAUGCAUAGGAAAACUCUUUAGUAAAUUCAGAUAGCAAUUGGUGUAAGGAAGAUAUGCUACCCGCUUUCAAAGAGCGAAACCAUGACUUCGCGGGGCCCGUGAGUGUGUGUGUAAACAUCCUACACAUGGCGCUCUCAUCUACACCCUUGAUAAGCAUUUGGUCGCGGUAUAACUCAGCAUGCUCUGAGGGAUCAGUGGUACCAGAGUAUUGGGGUAUCUGAGGCAUGGCGAACGCCUCGGGGAGAGCUGCCGUCCUAAUCUCCAUAGUGAAUGGUGACUGGUAGGUCAGUGGCGUUGGUGCAGCUGUGAUGUUUUGCUUCUCGGAGAGGAGCUUCACUUGGGCUUCCAGGUUCUCCAUCUUUUCUACAAGUUCGAGGGGUACCCUCGGUGUACCCGAUGAUGUCGCCGCCAUUUGAGAAGCCCUUUUGGCGUUUAGCUUCUCACGGAGAUCCUCGUGGGUACGCUUUGCACGCCUCGUACCCUGGCUGCUGCGGGAAUUGCAAGAGGCGGUGGAACGCUCGUCGCGAGAGCCCACGGUUUGAAACUUAGAACGGGUACCCGAUGGCCUAGGCUUUGGCUUGCUGGCCUCGGGUACCCCUCUUCUGACCAUAGCUUGGUCGUCCGUUUGAGGUGGUGGAGCUUCUAGCGUCACUGGUGGAAGCCAACUUUCGGGUGCUCGAGAUCCGACCGCCCUAAGUAUUGCGUGGGCAAGAUCCUCAAAACGCUUGUGCGAAAUAGGUUCCUCUUCUUGGCGAACACCCGUCGAUUGCUUGAUACCUUUGCCCUUGCUGACGCGGGCUACCCUUCUUGUGGGAUCACUACCUUCACUGCUGCUGUCAUCUCUCAUCCUUGUAGGAUCCCCCAUUAAACCUUCGGGAGGUACGUCGGGUGCCAUGUAUUGGAGUACACACAACAACUAGUUUGGUAACCGCGAAGGAGGCUUUUUGUGCGAAUCCCCACAGACGGCGCCAAUUGUUUUCAACAGAUUUUGGGGUAGGAAAAUCCAAAAUCUAUCUUAAACAAUGAAUUUAUAUUUUUCGGGGAGAUGGGGUACCUCACUGGUUUGUUGUGUGCGGUGCGGUGUAUCUGAAGUUCGGGGGAGGUGAGAAGGGGAGAGAGAGUGGUAACAAUGGUGGAAGGUCAGAAACAAGAGAGGUGUCCUUCAAAAUGAGCUUCACGCCUGCAAAACAGUGAAAUAGAGGUUAGAGGUGAAGCCGGGGUACCCCGGCGUUCACACUCCGACGCUCAAGUUAGCAAACUCAAGCUUUUAUGGCAAAGAGAGCUAGCUAGCCCUCUGUAAAUUAGGGUUUAAGGUUGAAGAAAACCUUUUUUUUGGAGUGUGAGUGUUUUUGGGCGAAUGAGAGCAUGAUGGAGAAUGAAACCUAGGCGCCUUUAUAUAUGGAGUACCUUAGCUGCCACGUGGCGUACCCUUUUUGGCUAACGUCCUUUUACCGCUUUUAUGAUUCUUGGGGCCGUUAUGUGCAUGUUCGCGGCGUAUCUCAUCUUUUGGAAACGUGGCGCGCGCUGGAGAGUGGUCCGGGGUACCUCUGCAGUAGCUGUUGGGUAGGCGGCUAGGGACCACUGUCCUUGGGACAGUGUCCUUCACUUUUGGCAGAGGUAGCAGGCGGCUGUCCCCCCCUUUUGAUACGACGUUAUUGAUUCAUAAUUCUGACAAAAUCAAAUAAUAUCUUUAAGGAGGCGGAGACGUUUCUCAUGGCGGAUAUUUUCGGAGGUACCUCGAGUUACGUGGGGUACCUCUAAUUGUACGGGGUACCUCUAGUUACGUGGGGUACCCCCUAUUACGCGGGGUACCCCUAUUUGUAUGGGGUACCUCAUAUUAUAUGGGGUACCUCUAUUUGUGUGGGAUACCCCUAAUUGUGCAGGGUACCUCUAUUUACACGGUGUUCCUCAAGUCAUGCCGGGCACCUCGGAUUGUGCAGGGUACCCUCCGAUUGUGCUGAAAUCAUUCCAGUAAUAGUUUUGAGAUAAUGAAACAAUUUUUUUCCAUUUUUUUUUUAUCUCUAUCCGACUUAAGGGGUAUUAUCAUGUAUAUAAAUUGAAUCCGACAUGUUAAAUUUUUCUGUCAAUCAACGAAGUCAUUGCAUAGAUAAUUCCCCAGAUUUUCAAUGCAAAGAAAGCCUUGCUCAUGUUUGAAGAGGUUAAUGAGCAUAAUAUGAGGGACAAAAUUGAAAUCUAUGAAGAAUUACAGAACUAUAGAGUAAAACUAAACAAGAAUUAUUAUUGUAUUGCUGGAAAUGAGAAUGAACGUGUAAUAAAGAAGCAAGUAAUGCAAAUAUGACGAAAGUAAAACUGCCUGAUUAGUAAACACCAAACAUUUAGCCAAUGACGAAUAAGUUUUGGUACACAAGUCAAUUCGAAAAAGAUUACAGUGUAUUCAGUUGUUAGUAAUAGAAUUUUCAUUUUUCCUCAAUCUUCUCCAUGCAAUCUAUACACAGGUAACUUCAGUGUAAUUAGAAGAUCGAAAUGAACUAGUAGAAUAUUUAAGAAACAAAAUUCUUAAACAAGUCCUACUGGGUUCGGUUAGAAUGAACUAUAACUAUGGUUCUAGAUAAAUAUCAGAGGUUUAUAAGAUAAAAUAGUAUGCAAGUCACUGUAGAGUAUCUUGAGAGAAAGUUUUAACCAUGCUUGUAGGCAUCGAAUAAUAAUGGUAGAAAACAUUUUAAGGCCCAAUGAACAUGCAUAAAAAAUGGUAAUAAAUGCAUGGUAGGCUUACGGACAUGUCUAGAAUCAUCCGGUGCAAUGCUUUCAACCAACUUUGGCCCGGAUGAAAGAAACCCACGUCCUAGAGGACUGUAAGCAACAAUUCCAAUGCCAAGUUCCCUGAGCAGAGCAACCACCAAAAUUGCGUUAGCAUGCAAAUGUUAAAUCAUCUACUCAUAAUUUUUUUUCCUUUCAACUAGGUCAAAACAAUUCAUUUGGCCCAAAUAAUGUCUUACCUGCAAGUAGGAACAAUCUCUUCCUCCACAUCUCGUGACCACAAGGACCAUUCCAACUGCACAGCUGUUAUUGGAUGGACGGCGUGAGCUCGUCUAAUUGUUGAAGCAGAAGCCUCCGAUAGACCUAUAUACUUUAUUUUACCCUCUUCAACUAGUUUCUUGAGUUCCCCAAUCUUACAAAACAACACAAGUAAAAGAAUUAGUACAUGAUAACAGAAACCUCACCCACCGAAGUGACCCAUGUCUGUAUUUUUAAAUAUUCUGUGUUUCAUAUUCAUUGGCAGCCGAGCUACCCAGAGGCUAACAGACUAAUAUAGUUUAACAUGCAUGAUUGAGACAAAUAUAUAAAUUAAAAACGACAAACCGUGACUUCAAUGGGAACUUUAGUGUCAAUGCGAUGUUGGUAAUAAAGAUCAAUACAGUCAACAUCCAGACGCUUCAAGCUGGCCUCACAUGCAGCUCUUACAUAAGCAGGAUCCCCACAGUAUGAGUACUGGCCAUCCUCAUAUCUGAUACCAAAUUUAGUAGCCAAUUCAACUCUUCCUCUGUACCCUCCUUUCAGAGCCUAAUCCCAAAACCAAAUUAAUCAAAGCCAAUAUAUUAUUAUUUGCCAAUUCCAAAUAUACCCUUUUGAAAUUAAAGGAAGGAAAUAGAAGAUAAAUUAUAUUACCUUGCCCAGAAGGAUUUCAUUUGUGUGAGGUCCGUAAGAAUCGGAAGUGUCAAGUAAAGUGAUGCCACUGUCAAUGGCAUGGUGGAUCAAGGCUAUCAUAUCGGAUUCGGGCUUCGGGGGCCCGUAGAAGGCGGACAUGCCCACGCAUCCUAAGCCUUGCGCUGAAACCUCUAGACCUUGUGAACCCAGCUUGAUUCUCUUCACUGCCCCCGCCAUUUCUCUUCUAUUAGCCUCUCAACUUUCUGUUGAGUGAGGUUGCUGUUUCUAAGCGAACAAUCUAUAUAUGUAGAUAUAUUGCUCUGCGGGCCUCUCAAAACUCGUAAUGCUAACGUAAUGGAAUAUGUUAGCAUUUACCUCAUUAACUUUACAAAUCACACAAGAGAGUAGUUAGAUCAAUAAUCGAUACGUCAUAAUGUUAUUUAUUAAUUAUAGGAAAAAUGAUAAACACAACUCCAACAUUUAGAUAAAGGGACAAAAAAAAGUAAUUUUUUUUUUUUUUUUUGUGAAGCUUAAGGCCCUAUUUGGUAUUGUUUUCCAAAUGUUGUUUUCUUGAAAUAAAAAUAACAAUGAAAAUGUUAUUUUUAAAUUUUAAAAUAUAUUCAGUAUCAUUUUUGAAUACUUAUCUAGUAUUUUCUGAAUUUAGAAAAUAAAAAAUUAGAUUUGAAAACAAUAUUGUACGCACCCUAAUAUUUUAAUUAUCUCUUUUGAACUAUCUGGCUCUAUAGCAAUUUGUAAGGGAAAUAUUGUCUUUUGAUCAGUCUAUUAUCUUAGAACUAGGGUCUAAGGUCAUAUUUGGUAUUGAAGUAUGUACCUUUUGAGUUACAAUUGUUAUGAAAAAAAUACUGUAACUAUAAAGUAAAAGUUAAUAGUAUGUAAUAAAUAUAAUUUUUAAAUAAUAAUUUUUUAAAAAUGAGUAAAGAUAUAAUAAAUUUUUCAUCAUACAAGUAGAAAAUCAAAUCAAUUUAGUUUUCAAGCUAUACCAACUAGUGUUUAUCAAAUACUUUAAUGCUAUUUUUUUUAUCAAAUACUUUAGUGCUAUUCUUUUUACACUACAACCGUUCAACCUCAAUCCUAAAUAGGACAUAAGUAUGGAAAUUACUCGAUGAAUCAUCUUUUAAGUAUUUGAGUGAGAUAUUGUAGUGAUUUUUUUUUCUAAAUACUUGAAAAUUAAUCUAAUCUGCAAUGAGAUUCUUGCAGACUUCUUGUCGUAACUAUAUUGUCAAUAAUGAUAGUCACAUGCUUACAAUUUUUUUUAUGUGUUUUUUAAAGAAUGGGUAAAAUCCAAAUCAAUUUUUUUCUUAUAAUCUUUGUAAGAUUGGAACUCCAAUAGUCAAUCAAAUGAAACUAAUUAAAAAUUGGUUAAAUCCUUAGGUGGUCAAUCAAGUGCUUACAUGUAAUAACUAAAAUUAUAGAGAACUUAUAAUUACUUUUGUAAGCAACCCAAAGUAUAUUAAGACUAACUUGAAAUUCUAUCACGUCUUAGUAAAUACUCAAAAAAUUUACUUCAUACUGUUGAGAAAAUGAGUAAAAAAAAGCCAUGGAAUUCAAAUAGUGUCCUCAAUAUUAUUGUGAAUACCUGUCAGCAUUGAUUAAUUAGUCCAAUGGCUAUUUUUUUUUUUAGAAGAUAAGCAUGUAUUUGAUAUUAUUUAUGUUUUGCUAUUUUUCAUUUUCCAAGAAAAAAAAAAGUGUAAAAUUUGUUUGGUACACUUAUUUUAUGGUAUUUAAUUUCAAGUAAGAAUGUUUAAUCUCAUUCUCUAACUUUAGAGAAGAAAAUUGGACAACAAGGCAUUCAUGAUUUUCAAUUUUCAUUUUUUAAAUGGGUACUACAAGUACCACUUGAACAACAACAAAAUAAAAAUCAUGUCUGUCAUUAUGUGGGCCCAUUACCAAUAUUUAUUUUAUAAUCCAAUUCUAAUUAUCUUUAAUACUUUUUAAUUAUUUUUUAUUCAACAAUACUAAUUGUAUUAUUUGGUAAUUUUUAAAAGGUUCUCUAUUAGUAAAAUUUAUUUAUUAUUUAUUAUUUAUUCUAAUAUUAAUGAUACUCCCUAAAAAAUCAUUUUAUCUAAUUUUUUAUAAUUAAAAAUUUUAAAUAAUAAAAAGUAAUUGAAAUUUCAAAUAAUAAAAAAUUAAUUGAAAUAUAUUAUGAUUAAAAAUAAUUUUAGUUCAUCUAAAUAUUAUAUCAUAGUAUGUAUUUUUUUCUCACUCUCUUUUACCGUCUUCACUUUUUAAACAACUCAAACAUUUUGAAAUUUUCAUUUUAUAAGUAUAUUUUAGAAAGAAGGCUCAUUCUAUUAUGCCUUGAUUAACGUAACGGUAUCAAUACUGUAAUUAAACAUAAUUUAUGUAAAUAAAAUAUAAAACUUGUAAAUCAAUAUUAAUUGUAAAAUACAUAAAUUUUAGAAAUUAAACAUAAAACUUGUAAAUUGAAGGUAAAAUGAGUAAAUUAAUAUAAAACUCGUAAAUUGAUAUAUUAUUAGUAAAUAAAACAAAAACUUGUAAUAUAACAUAAAACUUGUAAAUUAACAUUAAGUGCAAAAUAAAGCACAAAUGUAAAUGGAGGAUAAAACAAGUAAAUUAAUAUAAAACUAGUAAAUUAAUGUAUUACUAGUAAACAAAACAAAAACUUGUAAAUAUAACUUAAAGCUAGUAAAUCAACAUUAACAAUAAAAUAAAGGGUCACCCUAUGUUAUGUUGAGUGUAACAUACACACACUCACAGCAACAGUAACAAGUCUCAUCAUUAACAUUGUUGCUGUGAGUGUGUGUAUGUUACACUCAACAUAACAUAGCAGUGGCCUAAAAUAAAACAAAAAUUUUAGAAAUGAAGUAUAAGACUUGUAAAAGGAAAGUAAAAACAAGUAAAUUACUAUAAAAUUAGUAAAUUUAUGUAUCAUUAGUAAGUAAAACGAAAACAUACAAAUAUAAUAUAAACCAAGUAAAUCAAUAUUAAGUGCAAAAUAAAACAUAAAAUUUGUAAACCAUGCUCAAAACUUAUGAAUAAAAGGUAAAAUAAGUAAAUUAAUCUAAGAGUUACUAACAAAAAAGCUCUUAUAAACUAAAAACUCAUUAUAAUAUUUAUUACCUUAUAUAUUUAAUGAUUUUUUUAAAUUAAAUUGCAUAAUGCUAGUUUUGCAUUUAUGUAGUACAUGUGAUGUUUUAUUAAGGAUGAAAUUUAUUCGCAGAAUUGGAUUUUGAAAAAAAAAACUAUUUUAAUAUCUUUCAUAGUUGUUGUAACAUGAGGUUAUUUUGCAUCCUUCUACACUUCUGCAACAACAACCCUAAAUGGUCUCUUAAGUACAAGUAAAAAGUUUGAAACUACAUGAAGCAUACAUAGAACUCAAAAUUAGAUAUAAUUUUAUUGAUAUAUCAUAUAUGUGUCUAGUAAUAUGAGAAUAAUUAUUUAUUUAUUUAUUCAUUUGCUUGAUCCACGUCUAGAUAAAUAAUUGCACUUAAUUAACUUGUGUAAUAAACAGAUAUCAUUAUAGAAAAUGGGAAAAAUUAUACAAAUGUCAUUAAAUAAAUAUAGAAUUUAUGGUUAAACCAAUUCAAUAAAAUAUAUUUCACUUUUUUUGUACAAUUUUUGUUUAAUUAAUGAGUAAUUUUUUCUUUAUAUUUUUGUAAAUGAAUACAAUAUUUUUCACUAAAAUUGUGCAGAAGCAAUGUUAAUUUUUUAAAUAAUUAAUAAUCUUGUAUGAAGUUACUUGUUUUACUUUAUAUUUACUAAUUUUAUAUGAAACUAGUAAAUAUAAAGUAAAGCAAGGAAAUUCAUACAAGAUUAUUAAUUAUUUAAAAAAUUAUAAAAACAUUAUUUGAAUGGCAAUACCAAUUGCACCCUAGUCCGUACAAUUUUACGUCAUUCAAUGUUGAUAACGUGGCUGGCACAAAGGCCAAAUCAAAGGCUGAGCGGGCAUCACAUGGGCCUUUGCCUGGAUCCUAACCUUCGCAAGCAAAGGCCCACGAUUCUAUCACCCAUUAAUCCUUCUAGAGAAUCUGCUAUAGAUGUAAAUGGACCCUCACUAUCUUUUUCACUGUUUUGAUUUUUCAAAAUUCCUUUUUUUUUAUUAAGUUUAAUGCAUUUUAUUAUCUCCCUGAAACUAUUUGGCUAUGGUAAUUGGCAAGGGGAAAAUUAUCUUUUAAACAUUCUAUUACCUUAAGACUACGGUCAAGUAUUGGAAACAUGGUGAAUCAUUUUUUAGGGAUUUCAGUCAACUUAUAAACAUUAUAGAGAUUGAUUUUUUUUUGCGAAAUAUGCGAAAAUAAAUGCAGCGCUACGAGGUUCUUGUAAACUAUUAAAUUCAAAUCAAUAAAAGUAGCAAUAAUAGCGUAAGUCCAGAAUCUAUCAUAUAUCAAUACCACUCUCAUACAGUUGUUGUUAAAUCAGGCCUAAAAAAUAUUUUUUUUUCUUUAAUUUAAUAAAAUUAUCAAAAGUCAGAUUUUUUUUUCUUGAUUACAUAAAAAUGCAUAAAAGUAGAGAAACACCUUAAAUUUCCUACUGAAGAUUUGAAGACAACUACUUUAAUUUUUUCCACUACCAUUAUUGGGAUCUGUAGGAUAUGGUUGUAGUUUUCUCGUCUAUCAUCAAUAGUCUCCCUCGCACAUGAGGGCAUAUAGAGAACUAUAAUUCCCAUUUCCUCUUCUUUAUAUAGGCACUUAUUAAAGUCAAGAUAUAACUAGAAACUAAGCUAACAAAGGGUAUCCAUGAACUUCCUAAAUCCAACUUCAUAGUUAAGUCUCAGUCAUAUUAUGACUCCCUAAAACAACUAAGUUAACCUUAAGCUAUUCUACUAAAAGUCUGAUGUCGCACUCUAAUGAACCAUGUAACAAAUAAAAGCCUAAUUAAUUAAGACUUCUUUUAAUUAAUAUUAGACAUGAUUUUAAACCAAUAAUUACCACUUAAUUGACUCUUUAUUUGAUCAUCUUAAUUAAAUCCAGCCCAUGAUAAAUUUUCUUUCUUUGUAAUUACAUAUAUAUCCCUUAGUCACAAUUUAUUCUAACUAUCACUGUUAAUAUAUUUGUAAAUAGAUUACAAAUAAAUGUGAUUAAUUAAUAAAUAAAUUAUUGAAUAAAUUAUAACCACAGAUUUAAAUGAUCAAUAUAGGGAUGGCAAAAUGCAAGCUUAGACUAGGCUUUUUCAAGCCCGUUAGAGGGAAAGUAUAAGGGCUAAGCUUGGGCCGGGGUUGGGUUGGGUUGGGUUGGGUUGGGCUUUCACUUAUUUUUUUCAUUUUUUAAAAAAAUUGUUAAAAACUUGAAAUGAAUUAAUAGUCAAUGAGUUGUUAUAAUCGGCAACGAAAUAAAGAAAAUGAAUGUUUCAAAAUAAAAUAAUAAAUAAAGAAAACACAACAAAAAAAAGUGUAGAGAUUUAAAUUUUUUAAUACUAGAUUUUUUAAUUCAAGUAUCUUCUUAAUUAAUUAACAUUUAAAAGAGAGUUUAUUAUUAUAAUUUUAGAUUUUUUGAUUCAUUAUUGAUAUAUAAAUUAGGGACUUAAGCUUUCUUUCUUUUUUCCAUUAUUUCAUAAAAGUUUAAUUUAUUAUUCAAAUUUCUAAUUUAUUUUUUGAAAAAAAAAUAGAGGGCGUGUGCCUAGAUUUUUUUUUACUUAAGCCCUUAUCCAGACCGUUCAUAUGGAGGCAUGAGCCAAAUCUCAUAGCAAUGGGCCGGGCUCAUCCCUAUGAUCAAAUACUACAAAUAGCUUAGGUAAGCAUCAUUUGUAUAGAUUCCAUCUUGUAAGUAUAUAUAUUUCUAUAAUCCAUGAAAUUAUAUCUCCAAAUUAUUAACGUUUUGACCGUUUAUACAAAUCUUACUUUGUGACGACUCAAAAGACAUAAUACCUGAAUGUGCGCUAGACUCCUUUACCCUUUAUUAGCGUUAUAUUACCCACUCAGAAUUAAGAUCGAUCAAGCUUAUUAAAGCUUGUAUAGAUUAUGAUUAGCAACAUAUGUUAGAUUAGAUCAUAAUUCAUUACAAUCUUGUUCAUUACAUAUAUAUCUCAUAUACAUACUAAUUUUUCUACUUGAAGUCUCUACUUCAGUAAUUAAGAUAAAGUUACUUAACAAUAAAAAUACAAAAUAUACAGCCUUAUAAAAAUAAAAUGACAUUUCAUUAAUGGAUGUGAAUAAUCUUUUAUUUUUAAAGAAUUUGUGAUUUUUAUCUUCUAUCUUGACAUCAUAUGUCCAAUAUAUAAAUCAAAUACUUUAUAAAUAAGGGCUAAUAAUGUAUGCUCAAAUAAAUAAUAAAUAAAUAAAUUUUAAUAAAUUCAGAAAUUUUUAUUUUAUUGCAUGCUGUAAGAGUACAAAAUAAUAAUGUACAAAAUAAUAAUAAGUGUACUAGUAAUUAUAUUGUCAAUAAUGAUACUCAAAUACUUAUAACUUUUUUUUUGUGUUUUUUUAAAAGUAAAGGGUGGUAAUACCAAAUCAGUUUUUUCGCAUCUAACCUUUGAGGAUUCGAACUCUAAUUACCAAACAAAUAAAACUACAUGGAAAUCAGCUAAGCCUAGGGCGGCCAAUCAAAUGCUUACAUGUACUAAGCAAAACAAAAGAGAACUUAUAAUUACUUUUGUAAACAACAAAAAGUAUAUUGAGACUGUUUAAAAAUCUAUUACGCCCUAGUAAAUACUCUAGAGUCUACUCCAUAUUAUUGAGGAAAAUGAUUGAAAAGAAAAAAAAUGGAAUUCAAAUUAUUAUCCUCGGUAUUAUUGAGAACAACUGUUACCAUUGAUCUACCAGCCCAAUAGCUAUUAUUAUUAGUUUUAUAUUAUAAUUCUCUACUGAAAAAUACAAUAUUAUCUCAUUUAGUGUUGAUGUAUGUGGCACAAAAACCAAAUCAAAGGCUACGCCACCUUCACCGGGGCCCUUGCCCAGGUCCCACCCACCACAACAAAAGGCCCGCAAAAAAUUGUUUAUAUUAUAUAUUUAUUGGGUAGUGAAUGGUGAUAUUUUUUAUUUCUUAAAAUACUAAUUAGAGACCAGGUUUGCCCAUACUCGCAUGUGUAAGAGAGAAUCCAUUAUUGAGAAGAAAUUAUCAGUUGGAUUUAGGAGGAGUUAUUUAUGAACAAUAAACUUUUGGCCAAAUAAUCCAAAUAUCAAACAAAUUUGAGGGAAUGCAAAGUGUAGACGAGUAAAAAUUCAAUAAAUGACUAAAGAUUCAAGAAAACAUGAGUAUUAUAAAACUGAUUAAAUUCAUAUUGAGUUUGAAGAUGGAAUAAAACACCAGUAUAAUUGUUUUCAAAUAAUCAUAUGUCUAUAAUUGUAAUUUAUGUUAUUGAUAUUUUAGUAACAAUUAAGUUUAUUAAAAUGUGAGUUUAAUGAGUAACCUAGAGGGUUAAUUAGCCUCAACCUUUAAAAGGUGUCAAAAGGCUACUCUUUGUAUAAUAUAAUAUACUCCACUUAAACUAACCCACUUAAUACUAAAAAUUAACCUUGUAAUGUUUUCUGAAUUAUUUUAGUGUUCAAUAUCAACAAUCAUGAUGUUUUUGAAUGAAACAUACAAAAUGUUUAUAAUGUAAAAAAGAAAUUAGGGUUAUAUGAUGUAAGAAAUUGUUGAACUAAUACAUGUAUAGAUGUAAAUAGGGUAGCAAAAUGAAUUCAUGAAUUAGGUUAAAAGUCGGUAAAUUCAAUAUAAUGAAUUGGGUUAGAAGUUUGAAACUCCAAAGUUUCUAACUUCGAUGUUUAAAUUACAAAUUCAUUAACAAUAGAAUAAACUAACCAUCCUAACUCUAAAAUUUCAACCGAACCAGUGAGCUUAAAUCCACAUUCAUAUUUUGAAUUAGGGUCCAGCUACAAUAAAAAUAUUGUUUCAUACACUAUUUUUUGUCUUUUUGUGAUCCAACCAUUGGAUUCAACUCAAGAGUUGCAAAAGCUAUUCCAACGGCAUGGAUGGACUUGCUUGGUUAUUAACGAUGCAGUCCCUUCUGUUUACUAAAAAAAAUAAGGAAAGAUUAAAUUUCAAAAUUUGACACAUUAGUCCAGUAAAAUAUUUUAUUGUAAAUGAACACAUUUAUAUAUUAAAAAUAUGGAUGGAUUAUUUUAAUUUGCUAAAACACUCUCCACUUCCAUUUACUUAAAAUACCAAUUGGAUUAUAAUAAUAUUAUCUUGUUUUUUGUGUAAUACAAUAUUGGAUAAGGUUUUAUAAAAUUUUUGACAAUAUCAAAAUGAAAAAUAAAUAAAUAUUAAAUAAAUACUUGGAUAGUCAUUUAAAUUUCAUUAUGGAGUUUAUAAAUAAUAUUUUCAAAAUAAUAAAUUUCUAUAUGUAAAUUUGAAAUUAUGUAAAAUUAUUUAUUCCUUAUUACACGUAUGAAGCUGAUUAAUUAUUUAUUUAAUGUGAAAACAAAUGCAUUGUAUAAUAUUUAUUCUAUUACUUAAAUUUAAAAUUAUAAAGAAUGAAACUUAAAUUUAAAAUUGUAAAGAAUGAAUAAUAACUUAAAUUAAUAGAUUAUGGGAGGAUACCUUUCAAAAAAAUUAAAAUUAACAAACUUUUUAGGCUUCUAACGUAACAUUUUUAAUUUUUGUUGUUAACAUAAGACAAAAAUUAAGUCUAAAAACCUCAUUCUAGGGUCUCCUUAGGGUAAAAAAAAAAAUCAUUAUCACAUGAUAAUUUGGUAGCCUAAGUUGUAUUAUUUUUAGUUUACUUAUUCAUGCCAAACACCUUAUUGAGAUUAAAUUUUAGUAAAGUAAACCCAUCCCACCAUCUUUAAUCACAUUCAAUAGGCCCUAAUUGAUUAGAUCUUGUUAUAUAAAGUAAUAUAUAACUCUUUCUUUAUUACAAUGGUAAAGAAAAAAAAACAUAAACACAAUAUAUUUCUUUUGAGAAAAUGCAAGUAUUAUGUUUUUUAGGUUUUGUGUUUAAGAAAUUAAUCUAAUUUAUGUAGUUAGAAGACUCUUAUUUUUUAUGUUUUAGAAGAAUUAUAUGUUUGAUAAUGAAUAAAUUAAGAUUUAAAGUAGGAAAACUAAUUUGAGAAGGAGAUAGAGAGAAUAAAUUUUUUAGAAUUUGAAAAUUAUUAUAUUUUAAUUGGGGCUUAUUACAUAAAAUUAUUAAAACAUAUGGUUUUUAUUAUUUAUAGAAAACAAUAGGGAUUGCUAAAGAAAACACUAAAUAAUUAUUUUAAUUUGAAAUUAUUAUAUUUUAAUUGGGGCUUAUUGCAUAAAAUUUUUAAAAUUUAUAGUUUUUAUUAUUUACAGAAAACUAUAGGGACUGUUAAAGAAAAUACCAAAUUUGAGGGUUUGGUACAACGGUUGCAAAGUAGUUUUGUCCUGAACUAGUGAGACUUUUUUUUUGGCAUAAUUAUAUUUAUUGUAUCAUUCAAUAAAUGGAUCUUAAAAAAAUAAACAAAUCAGUGGGACAUUCAAUUUGUUCACUUAACAAAUUCAAUCAAAAUUGUCCAUUUAUUAGACGAAUUAAUUUUUCAAACCUAAAUGCUUUUAAUUCAAAUAGAAUCAAUAAAUCCUUAUCUAUAUUAUUACCCCUAGAUGUAAACCCUUUUUAUGAGAAAAAAAAGGGUGUUUAUAUGAUAGAAGAAACUAUUGAAUUGUAUUUUUAAAUAUGUUAUAUAUUAUUGAUUUAUCUGUCAUUUUACUCUAGAGUGAAAUUGUAGCAAUAAAAAAUUGAGUAAAAUCUUUAAAUUUAUAUUUUUCAUGACUCACCGUAGAUUCUGGUAUUUCAUAGAUUAAUUCUUUAUUGGCUUAAAAAAAAUCCUACCCAAACUUAAAAAAUUAAGCUAAUAUAGACAUAACAUAAAAAUAAAUAAAUAUGAUAUAUAAUACAGAAUUUUGUAAAUUAUUUUUAAUGUUAAAUACAAGUAUUUUAAUAUUAUUGAUCUGCAAAAUAGAUUUUAUUAAAUUAAAACAUAUAUGAUAGAUUAAUAAUAUUAAAUUAAUUUUUUUAUUCAAAAUAAUUUAUAAAAUAUAUAACAAUUAUAUAUUAUAUUAUUUUAAUAUUAUAUUUUGUAUCUAUCUAUCAUAGAAGUUUAUUUAAAAUCAAUUUUUGGAUUGUUAAAAUCGAUGUGUAUAAUCAUCAAAAAACAUUUGUGUGAUUAUUUAUUAAACCAAGGAGGUCUAUAGCAACAUUUAUGUUCCCAAGGGGGUAUAUAUGCUUUUUUUCCCUGAUUUUUAGAUGAAUUAAUUCUUAAAUGUAUCUAUUUAUCAUUUACUGCAAAGAAGGUGAUCAAAUUAACCAUAAAAAAUACGCAAUGAAAUGUGUGAAAUGCCUGAAAGGCAAUAGGAACUGUGAAAAAUAUUUUUACGGAUUGGACUAGGCAAUGCGGGCCAAUAAUAUCUAGUCCAAAGAUGAGGCUGGGCCAAGUUUAAGUUUCACUUGAUAAAUUUAGAUUCGUCCAAAAACCUGAAUUUUAUGAAAAAAUAUUAUAAAAUACAUUAUUUUAAAUAACUAUAUUUAUUUGACCCAUAGAUUAUACAUAUUUAAAAUUUUAAAUAUUUAAAGUUCAUAUUUGAAAACCCAAAUUCAUUAAAUAAAAUUUAAAAAUCAUAAAACUAAAAUAGGUCCCUACAGCGCAACCCGCUUAGGUCGAAAGCCAUCCCAGCCUGGGCCAUUUGGGUCUUUGCAUUAACCUCAAAAGGAUAAAAAGUGCAUGAGGUAUAGGUGGGGGUGUUCGCGGAUCGGAUUUUACGAAUUGGACAUCAAUCCAUAUCCGAUCCAUGAUUUUGCGGAUUAUAAUUUUUUAAUCCAAUCCAAUCCAUAAAUUGAUAAAAUUCAAUCAAAAUCCAAUCCAUACAUCUGCGGAUCGGAUGCGGAUUUGACUCAAUCCAUAUCCAAUCCAUACGUCUGCGGAUCGGAUGCGGAUUUGACUCAAUCCAUAUCCAAUCCAUUUUGCGCAUUAGUUUUCGAAUUAAAAUUUUUUAGUUCUCUCCAACUAAUGAAAUAAAAAAAAAUCUAAUAUAAAAAUAAUUUUGCUACCAAUUAAAUUUAAAAUUGAAUAAAAUUUAAAUAAAUUAAUUAUUUAAAUAGAGUUAAAAUAAUACAUUUAAAGUUUCAAAAUAUAACAAUCGAGACUAAUUAUUUAAAUAAAGCUACAAUAAUACGUUCAAAGUUUCAAAAUAUAACACACCAAGCUUAAUUGUUCAAAUAAAGUUACAAUAAUACGUUAAUAUAACACCGAAAUUAAUUGUUCAAAUAAAGCCACAAUUAAUUGAAAUGGCGAAGUUUUGGAAACCAAACACGGUCUGAUCCUUCACUAGGGUUGUUGCGCCUGUUGAAAAGUGGUGAUUACUGAGCCGUCCACGAUGGGAACCAGGAGAAGCCGUACGGGUGGCGAUCUUGAAGGUUGUGAUAGUGAAAUUGUUCAGCUGGAACCAGUGAAUGUGAAGUGGCUCGAUGGACUUGGGAAAGAAGAUGGCUUGCUCUCACUGGGAUCGCACGGCCGAUGUCCUUCAAAUCCGUGUCGAGAGUGUAUCCAACCAGUAUUGAGUGUUGUUAGUGUGCGUGACGACGGAGAAGCUUAGGGUUUUUUGUUUGCAAAUUGUUGGUGACUUGACAACAUGUUAUUUUACUUUUGGGUGACUUUGCAAAUUGUUGGUGACUUGACGUUAUGUUACUUUACUUUUGUUAGUGCGUGUGACUUUGCUUUUAUUUUGUUUUACAAUUUUUACACGUUAUAUUUGUAUAUUUGAUUAUUUAAUUAUUUUUUAUUUUUUAUUAUUAUUGGGUAAUGGCUAAGAUAUGUUAUAGUGCUUAUGUAACUAUGUAAUGUCACAUUUAUAAUUUUUUUAAUUAAAUUUAUAAUAAUUUUUUAAUUAUCUAUAUAUAUAUAUAUAUAUAUAUAUUAUUUUAUUUUUUUUGUGCGGAUUCACGGAUUUUUACAGAUUUACAGAAGUAAAUUCAUAUCCAAUCCAUCAAUCCACGGAUCGGAUUUAUACGAAUCGGAUUGAGUGGAUCAGACGGAUUGAGUGGAUCGGAUUGGAUUCUGAACACCUCCAGGUAUAGGUUUUAACCGAAAGAACUUCUUGCGCAAUUCAUGCGUUUCUGCUUUUAUGACCAGAAAUUGUUUCUUGAUUUGAUUUCCAUUUCAAAUUGUUCUCUGGACUUUUUAUCAAUAUGAGGUGAUUGCAAAUAAACAUAUAUAAUAUUAUAAAAUAUAAAUCUGGAUUUUUUAAGCCCAUAAAAGAAAGUCCAUUUGGGGCCGAGAUUUUAGGCUCAACCUCAGUGUUCAAAAAAACAUGCUUGGGCCAAAUUUGAGUAUUGCCAUAUCCGGGACCGACUUGAGUUUUUACCAUGACUAAGCAUAAUCAAUUGGUUCAAAUAAUUUAAUUUCCGGUAAAAUGAUGUGAAAAAUUGUGAAUCAAUUUGGUAAUCUCGUAGAGGCCACUUUGUAACACAGUAAAAGUAUUCAAUUGAUCUGAAAUCAUUGAAUAAUUUUUUGUUGAGGAAGGAUGUCACGUACAACAACAAGAAACAUAUAAUGCUACAAUAAAUUUAGAUCAGCAAUAAUGUUUAGGAUCCUAACAUUUGAGUCUCAACUUGACUCUCAAUGAUAUGUGUCACUCAUCAAUUGAAUAAUGGAUAUAAUAUCUAGUAAAAUUAUUUAACCACCAUUCAAUAGAUGAAUUCCACGUCAGUAGGAACUCAAAUUAAGACUUAUGUUGGGACAUCUAGCAUUGCUCUUCACAUCAGUGGUGAGGCUCCAAGUGGGUUGGGAAAUUUUUAGAAAAUUUACAAAAAUAUCAUAAUGCAAAGUUUAUAAAAUUGCCACUAUUUUAUUUACAGUAGUACCACUCUAUUAAUUUACAAUUUUGUCAUUCAAAUAAAUAUACAGAAAAAAGGGAGCAUUUACUUCAUUCAAGAUUCCAGAACGUGCUUUCUUUCUUGGCUUCUUCAGUUCUUCGUCUUCUUCUUGACAAGAAUAGAUAAUACAUUUAUUGUUUAUUCAAUCAUUUACAGUACACUUAUUAAUUGUUAGGUAGUAAAGACUAAAGAUUAUAUUAUUUAAUUCUUGUUCCAAUUUCAUUGUGUAAAAUUAAAUUAUUGUUGGGUCAAAUGAAGAUAAUUUAGCCAUUAAAUUCUAGCAUUCAAAAAUUUAAAUUAAUUAUUGAUAGAGAUGGAUCAUAGAUUCAAUUCAGUACAUUAUACAUAAAGUUAAUUUGUUAAUUGAAUUUAUUGUUUGGCUUCUGGAUAGUGUUAAUGUGUCGUAGUGACAGAUUGACGGUUCUAUGACUUUUAUUAGUAAAUUUGUGAUUAUUUCUUCUAACUUCUUUUAUAUUUAUACCAUGUUUUGACUGAAACACCCAAACGAGCAUAGACACGACUUCAAAAUAAGGAAGAGAAUGAAUUUUUAUCAAAUUGUAUAGUUAUCUACGUUAAAAGAGAAUUUGUAAACACCGUUAAUUUAAAUUCGAUAAUAGAUGGAUUUAAUUCUCGAAAGUAUGGUAAAUUACUUCUUAGACAUGAUAUAUUUUCUUAUGUAUAACAAAAUUUUCUUUCAAAUUUAUAUUUUUAACCAAGAUAAUAUUUGGAUUUGGAAAAAAUUUAGCCUACCCAAGAUAUUUUUUCUGGCUUCGCCCCUGAUUCAGAUCAUCUAAACUUCCAGAAAUUUCAGAUAAAUAUUACUCCAUUUUGAUUUGUUAUUGUUUCUCAUAUAUUUGCAUAAACACAUUACAUUGUUUUUGCGCUCACUGCAGAAGAUACAAUGAUUUAGUUUUACUUACAACACUGCAUAGGAACUCAAUACAAUAUUCACUAAAUGCUUGUGGAAAGUGCAGAAAGGUACUGAUAGGGUCUCGUAUGAGAACACAAUGAUUUUACCCACAACAGAACCUAGGAACUACAUGCAAUUGCAAAAUCGGUACUAAGAAGCAGAAUACCAAUGCCCUUUAUGAAGGUUUCCACGAAGACAGAGGUGGAGUUUCAGAGUCUUCGUAGGUAGGAGUGACACCCCCAUACCGAUGACCCCUUACAGCAUCUGCUGAAGCAAUAGAUUCAAGCUCAGCCAUUUCUUCUGGAGAAAGUUUCACUGACAGAGCUUUAAUAUUUUGAUUGAGGUUUUCAAUCUUGGUGGUUCCAGGAAUCGGACACACGUCAUUUCCUUGGUGAUGAACCCAUGCUAAUGCAAGCUGAGAUGGGGUGCAUCCUUUCUUUACUGCUAUUUCAUUAACACGUUCAAAUAGCUUUUUGUUAUGCUCUAAAUUUUCAGGUUGGAACCUCGGUAGAUGCUGCAAGAUUUAGAAAACAGCUCAGUACCAAAACUGAACUGCAAUUGAAUCAUUAAAAAAAAGAACAUCAUUUUGGAUAAGAGUAAUGAUACAGCCACAAACUCUUGUACAAACUUAUUUUGUACAAACUGAUGUGGCAUGAUAAGAUUGGUUGAAUUAAAUAUCACUUGGCCCACAUGAUUUAUUUUUAUUAAUUUAUAUUUUCAUUCAACCAAUCUUAUCAUGCCACGUCAGUUUGUACAAAAUAAAUUUGUACAAGAGUUUGUGGCUGUAUCAUUACUCUUUGGAUAAAGCAUGAUUUUAGAGGAGGUUUAUGUAAAAUUCAAUAGACCAGAAAACAAAGAAAAAGGACUAGUCGGGGACUUCUCCUAGGUGGAGGAUGUUUAUAGUAAAACAUUUUGGCAUGUUAGACAAAGGUCUCACAAGAAAUAAACUCUCCUUGGACUUGUCAAUUGAUUUCACAUUGACGUGCAUAGGCAAAGCAAUAUAACAAAAAUGGAAACUGCCACAAGGAUGUAGAAGUUUGGAAGAGUCAUUACAGCUAAACUUCUUGAGCAUCCAGUAAUAGUUUUGAGGUAAUGGAACAAUUUUUUUCCCUCAUUUUUUUUUUCACCUCUAUACAACUUAAGGGGUAUUAUCAUGUAUAUAAAUUGAAUCAGUCAUGUUAAAAUUUUCUGUCCAUCAAUGAAGUAAUUGCAUAGAUAAUUCCUCAUAUUUUCAAUGCAAAGAAAGCUUUUGCUCAUAUUUGAGGAGGUUAAUGAACAUAAUCUGAGGGAAACAAUUGAAAUCUAUGAAGAAUUUCAGAGCUAUAGAGUAAAACUAAACAAGAAUUAUUAUUGUAUUGCUAAAUGAGAAUGAAUGUGUAAUAAAGAAGACAAGUAAUGUAAAUAUGAUGAAAGUAAAAAUACACGAUUAGUAAACACCAAACAUUUAGCUAAUGAUGAAUAAGUUUUGGUAGACAAGUCACUUCAAAAAGGAUUACAGUGUAUUCAGUCCUUAGUAAUUGAAUUUUCAUUUUUCCUCAAUCCUCUCGAUGCAAUCCAUACACAGGCAACUUCAGUGUAAUUAGACGAUCGAAAUGAACUAGUAGAAUAUCUAAGAAAGAGAAUUCUUAAACAAGUCCUACUGGGUUAGGUUAGAAUAACUAUAACUAUGGCUCUAGAUAAAUAUCAGAGGUUUAUAAGAUAAAAUAGUAUGCAAGUCACUGUAGAGUAUCUUGAGAGAAGGUUUUAAACAUGCUUGCAGACAUCGAAUAAUAAAUGCAUGGUAGGCUUACGGACAUGUCUAGAAUCAUCCGGUGCAAUGCUUUCAACCAACUUUGGCCCGGAUGAAAGAAACCCACGUCCUAGAGGACUGUAAGCAACAAUUCCAAUGCCAAGUUCCCUGAGCAGAGCAACCACCAAAAUUGCGUUAGCAUGCAAAUGUUAAAUCAUCUACUCAUAAUUUCUUUUCCUUUCAACUAGGUCAAAACAAUUCAUUUGGCCCAAAUAAUGUCUUACCUGCAAGUAGGAACAAUCUCUUCCUCCACAUCUCGUGACCACAAGGACCAUUCCAACUGCACAGCUGUUAUUGGAUGGACGGCGUGAGCUCGUCUAAUUGUUGAAGCAGAAGCCUCGGAUAGACCUAUAUACUUUAUUUUACCCUCUUCAACUAGUUUCUUGAGUUCCCCAAUCUUACAAAACAACACAAGUAAAAGAAUUAGUACAUGAUAACAGAAACCUCACCCACCGAAGUGACCCAUGUCUGUAUUUUUAAAUAUUCUGUGUUUCAUGUUCAUUGGCAGCCGAGCUACCCAGAGACUAACAGACUAAUAUAGUUUAACAUGCAUGAUUGAGACAAAUAUAUAAAUUAAAAGCGACAAACCGUGACUUCAAUGGGGACUUUAGUGUCAAUGCGAUGUUGGUAAUAAAGAUCAAUACAGUCAACAUCCAGACGCUUCAAGCUGGCCUCACAUGCAGCUCUUACAUAAGCAGGAUCCCCACAGAAUGAGUACUGGCCAUCCUCAUAUCUGAUACCAAAUUUAGUAGCCAAUUCAACUCUUCCUCUGUACCCUCCUUUCAGAGCCUAAUCCCAAAACCAAAUUAAUCAAAGUGAAUAUAUUAUUAUUUGCCAAUUCCAAACAUACCCUUUUGAAAUUAAAGGAAGGAAAUAGAAGAUAAAUUACAUUACCUUGCCCAGAAGGAUUUCAUUUGUGUGAGGUCCGUAAGCAUCGGAAGUGUCAAGUAAAGUGAUGCCACUGUCAAUGGCAUGGUGGAUCAAGGCUAUCAUAUCGGAUUCGGGCUUCGGGGGCCCGUAGAAGGCGGACAUGCCCAUGCAUCCUAAGCCUUGCGCUGAAACCUCUAGACCUUGUGAACCCAGCUUGAUUCUCUUCACUGCCCCCGCCAUUUCUCUUCUAUUAGCCUCUCAACUUUCUGUUGAGUGAG